UUUUUUUUUUCUUUUCAUCUUCUUGGGCUUAAGCAUGGACGAUCUUGGCCUUAUGCAUGAUGAUCAGAGGAAAGCAAUUUCACCUGCUGAUGUAGCGUUAUGCAGCUCAGUUGAUGUUCAAGUGCUAAAUGUGUUUUAGUAUUUGGUGACCAAGGCAUAUUCCAGUAUCUAUACAUGUGCGCAUACUGAAAGUCUGAAAUUGGCUGUAACUGUAUAGUUACAAGGCAGUGACAUAACAGUAUAUGUAUAUACAAAUUUAGAGUACAUAUGGUUAAAGUAGAGGCUUGGGAGCAAUUAUUCUCUUAGUAAUAAAUCACGAGUUGGCUGCUUCUUCAAUGGCGUGUCAUACAUUCUACUAAUGUACAGCUCAUGUCUUCUGGGAUCAAACUAAGCUUUGAAUUUACAAGAGUGAAGACUUAUGUGAGAAGUACAACAAACCGUGUUCAGUUUUAACUAGCAUAAAAAUUAUGCCUCUGCAUUACUUCACCGAUUCUAACAAUUUUUAUUUUUAUUUUGCGGGUGAGAUUCUAACAAAGUUUCUUACACUCGAUUGAACUUGUUUGUAAACCUUGGGGGUUGAUAGCAUCCUGACAUCGAUCAGCACGAGUGGCUCAACUAAACUAAAAUUCCACGACUGACUUGUGACUUGUGAGCAACAGUAGCAGAGCAGAGCUAUUCUCUUUGAUCGAAGCUACAGUACCAAACAAGAUCAAGAUCAAGGUUGUCAGAAUCGUGAUUCUGAAUCGGAUCGGAACUUCAAUGUUAGGAUCGCAAAUCGUUGAAUCUUCACUAUCAAGAUCGUAGAAACGUAGAUUCUAUGAGCUAAAAUUGUACAAUCAAAGGGAUUAGCUUGGAUCGUAAAAUCGUAGAAUCGUACCACAAAAUCGCGAUUCUGCCAACCUUGAUCAAGAUUGUAUGGCUGGAAUCAGUAAAUCAGGUUCUCCCGACCCAAAGCAACGAGAGCCUUCUGAUUCUUAAUUUUCUUGUGAAGAAUCAUCAGGUUAUUUCUGUCAUGGAAAAUGGAAACUUCUGCGAGGACAGACAUGACACAGAACACGCAAGGAUAAUAACUGUACUAAUGCAAGUGGAUCAUGUUCUAGUAGUUACUCCCUUCGAUCCAAAUUAGCUGUUGCUAAAAUGGGUGUAUCUAGUACUAAAAUACGUCUAGAUACGUCGACCAAAUUUGCUCGCGGAGGAUGGCUCUCCUCUCCUCUCCUCCCCCCUCCCAACUCCGGUUCUCCACCACACCGCCCCCAGCCCAACUCCGGUCGCCGCAAGCUCUCCCCAUGACCAUACGCUCACCACCAGCCCCCCGGAUGCUCUGCGCCCCUCCGUUGCGCCACCACCAUCACCUUUCUUUGACCCCCCCUACGUCAAAGCCGGGCAGGUGGCUCUCCGAUGCUUCCUGGGCUGCGGCAACGCCAUGGGGCUGGAAUUCGAGGAUGACUGCAGUUACUACUGCCGUCUUGCAGUCACCACGCCGGCGCUGCACCUUCCGUCGCCCCUCUACCUCAUCUUCGAGUUCUCCAACCGCCACCUUGACGCCAUCACGGUAGCCGCUCUGCUCCAAGCUGCCCUUGGUGGCUGCGCCGCCGACUUCUUCGUCGCUCAGUGCUCCCCCUGUUCUUCCGCUUCCAUGUGGCUACUCCGCGAGUCGGAGAGAUCAUCCUAGACCAAAAACCAAUCCGCCAUCAUAACUACGCCUUCUCCUUCGCUCGCUCACUACCUCUGCUUCCACCCACGCCUGCCGCGCCCGCUUCAUGCAUGUCGCUCGCCACCCUGCUGCAAAUUCCAGAAGACCUCUGCCUUCAUUUUGAAGGUGUGGUCUCCACGCAACUCCGGUCGACUGUCACCAUCGACCCAUGCCCCAACCGCCAUGGAUGCCGCAUGUAUGCUCGCGUCAUCCAAUUCCCGUUUACCCUAUACACUCAUUCCAUGGCCCUCAUCCUCGCCCGCCUCUUCGGUGGCUGCUUCUCCCACUUCAACGUCACCGACGAGGGAGACUCUUGCUUCUCUUUCACCGUUGCCAACCCCGUAGUUGCCAACCUCGUCGCUGCCAUGGGCGAUUUCCACAAAAGAGGCAUGUUGAUCCGCUUCCCUCGUCCGCCUACCCCCCGCACGCUCGCCCGCUGGAAAGGCCGAGCCCCCCGUGCAUGGAGCCAUGGCUUCCCUCCCGACGACGAACAUCUCUGCUUCUCUGCCACCACCGUCAACAGCCCUUGAUCUACCCAAGGUUAGACACGCUCGACCUGGUAUUAGCUUUUUUAUCGUAUGUUGCAUGCUAAUCACCCUAAUCAGCCACCAACACAUAUGCACUACACCUCUCACACCCACUGUUUCUGGGUCACCUUCGUGCCAAUAUCGGUUAGCCCUAAUGAAGUGCUUGUCGAGUCAGCUCUAAACCACUGUUUUUCGGUCAAACGAGAUUUGCAUGCAAUCAAGGUACAUGACCUCAUUUUCAAAACUGGCAUCUUCUCCAGCUUCGCAAAGGUUCGAAUUCUCAAAUAUGGGUCGCUAGACUUUUCCGGGUUUCGUCUCUUCCUCUUUGACCAGCUUGACGAUCUGGUUGCUCACUGCGGCCGGCACCUAGCACUAUAUCAAUCUUAUUCUCAUACCCCGCUCCCACCAUGCUCCGUCUCUGUCUUGGGCCCCUCCGUGCCUCCCUGCCCACCCAUGCACGGCCCGACCCCAGCCGCCCUCACGAGCGACCCGCACGUCCCCUCACCCAUGCAGGAUCGGCGGGCCCACCCCAUGCACAAUGAUGGCUGCGCAGCGGCGUCAGGUGGACCAAAUCCUCCCAAAGAUCCGUACGCACCACGCGCGGAGAUGCAUGCGUGCGUCGCUCUCGCUAGAACCCAGGCACCCCCUUUUGUCUCUCUGUCUGUGCCAAAUCGGGCUCCCCCACUGCCCCCACCCACAUCUAAUCCGGACGGCGUUGCGCCGCCCUCUGUCUCCCCCCGCCUGGCCACUGUUGCCACCCCGUGUCAGGAUACUGCAUUGGGAACCGAUGGAAUUGCACGGUCUUGCACUCGCUCGCCCACGCCGCCCCCUCAACCUACCCCUAGCCAACAUCUAGCUAUCAUCAUCGCUCCUACACCGGCGCUGCAGCCUAAUCCGCCUGCUCGAUCUCCANNNNNNNNNNNNNNNNNNNNNNNNNNNNNNNNNNNNNNNNNNNNNNNNNNNNNNNNNNNNNNNNNNNNNNNNNNNNNNNNNNNNNNNNNNNNNNNNNNNNNNNNNNNNNNNNNNNNNNNNNNNNNNNNNNNNNNNNNNNNNNNNNNNNNNNNNNNNNNNNNNNNNNNNNNNNNNNNNNNNNNNNNNNNNNNNNNNNNNNNNNNNNNNNNNNNNNNNNNNNNNNNNNNNNNNNNNNNNNNNNNNNNNNNNNNNNNNNNNNNNNNNNNNNNNNNNNNNNNNNNNNNNNNNNNNNNNNNNNNNNNNNNNNNNNNNNNNNNNNNNNNNNNNNNNNNNNNNNNNNNNNNNNNNNNNNNNNNNNNNNNNNNNNNNNNNNNNNNNNNNNNNNNNNNNNNNNNNNNNNNNNNNNNNNNNNNNNNNNNNNNNNNNNNNNNNNNNNNNNNNNNNNNNNNNNNNNNNNNNNNNNNNNNNNNNNNCUCUGCCACAAGAUACGCCGCCCAUACGGUCCAACAGCGCCAUGACGACCCCCUAUCAAGACGCACUCCUCUCCUCCCCCCGUGCCCAUAGCCACCCCCAGCUACGCCCCAUAUAUAUACCACGCCGGCCCCUCUCCCCUCUCCAUCGCCAUCCUCAUCCACCACAAUCCUCGCUCAAAAAACGUCGUUGCUUCCGCUGCCUCGCUCUCGACCACACCGUCGAGACUUGCCGUGACCCCGUCCGCUGCGCUCGCUGCUGGCGGAACGGCCACCGCAGCCGCGACUGCAGGUAUCUCCGGAUCUGGCCUUGCGUUCCUCCUCUCCCCGAUUCUUUUCCCUCAAACCCUAACCCCGCCUUCUGUCGUCGCAGGAUGAACCACGGCAGCUCUUCCUCGGCCACGGCCCGCGUCCCCCGCACCCUCAUGAUCGGAGAGGUCCCCAUCAUCCUGUCUGAGCCAUUCCCUACGGUCCGCGUCCCAUCCCCAUUCGUCCUCCAUGGCGUCCCCAUCGACGCCGACGGUGUUCCCCCGCCUCCUCCCUCACCACCACGCACAUCUGCACCUCCCCCAACCCCCACCACCCCGCACCACCACCUCUCCCACAACACUCCUUUCGACACCCAUGCCCUCAGAGCACGCCUCUCCGACAUCUUCACUGCCUCUCAGUUUGCCAGGGCCGAAUCCCACGUUUCGAACUCCGAGCCGGACGAAGAGCUACCUCGCCCUGAACGCGUGGCUGGCCUGCUCCCGCCCUAUGGUGAUAUGCCGCUCGUCGCCGCCCCGCCAUGCCUUGUCCAUUGCCCCCGCCGCUUUGCUUUCGCACACCUGCAAACCCCCGUUCCCAACCCCACCCCUCUCAUCUGCCACGCUAUCCAGCACACCUGCGGCAACCCGGCCUUCAUCUUGGGCGGCUCUUGGCGCGGGGUAGAAUGCAUCACUUUCCACACUCCCACAGCACGCAACGACGUCAUCUGCCACAGUCCCAUAGAAUUUGAGGGCAACAUGGUUACUAUUGAGCCAGUAGAACACGCCUUGCCAUUUUCACCGACCUAGCCGAGAUCGAGGUGUCAGAAUUCCCACAUGAGCUCUAGCACAACGACGGCAUCCGCUUCGCACUAGCGUUCCUUGGUGACGUCUGUGCCGUUGAUGACUUCUGUCUUCACGGCAUCGACUACACCUCGGUCCGUGCCCUCGUCCUGCUCCAGUCCGGCAAGCCGGCUCCACCUGGCCUAGUCAUCCAGCUCCCACCCAUCAACGAGAUGAAAAUAGCCAAGGUUGUCGAGGUAUCUCGCUGGCACCACGGCGAUGGCGCCAACCCCUUCGGUGGCAACUCCUCCGAUGGCAACUCUGCUCCUCUCUCCCAGCGCGGCUCACCAUGCCCGCUCUCACCUGAAAACUUCACUCCGGUGGUCUCUGCUGUCAGGGCGGGCUGGCGCGCGGACCCCACCUACGGCGGGACUAGGCCGGUUGCCCGCCGCCUCUCUCCCGAUGCACGUGCCCUCCAUACUUCUCCUAGCGGCGCUAGCAGUGACCCCGCCUUGUCGGCUGUCCUUCCUCCCCCUGGAUCUGCACGUGACCCGCUUGUCGUCUCUGACGACGACUCGGCCGGCUCGGAAGGCAUGCACGUUCCCCUCCUGCAUGCAGUCACCUCGGACUCCCUGGAUGCGGUGCAUGCACCCGUGGUGGCGGUCCUGGCUCCACCUGUCAUCCGCCCGCUGCCCAGGGUGGCAGCCGUUGACCCUCCUGCUCCACAUGUUGACGCGGGGGCCGGCGUGGUGGCGGGCCACGUGCUCCACCCCGACACGUCGGCCUUUGCCCUCGUCGCUCCGGCCGCGCCAGUGAUACGUACAUUUUGCAUCAUGAUUUUAUAUCAUAAUUUAUUGCAUUAUGGGCUGUUAUUACACAUUAUGUAAAAUACUUAUGCCUAUUCUCUUUUAUUUUACAAGGUUUACAUAAGGAGGGAGAAUGCCGGCAGCUGGAAUUCUGGGCUGGAAAAGGAGCAAAUAUUAGAGACCUAUUCUGCACAACUCGAAAAGUCCUGAAACUCCACGAAAGUUAUUUUUGGAAAUAAUAAAAAAUACUGAGCGGAAGAAAUACGUCAGGGGGGCCACCACCCGUCCACGAGGGUGGGGGGGGCGCGCCCUNNNNNNNNNNNNNNNNNNNNNNNNNNNNNNNNNNNNNNNNNNNNNNNNNNNNNNNNNNNNNNNNNNNNNNNNNNNNNNNNNNNNNNNNNNNNNNNNNNNNNNNNNNNNNNNNNNNNNNNNNNNNNNNNNNNNNNNNNNNNNNNNNNNNNNNNNNNNNNNNNNNNNNNNNNNNNNNNNNNNNNNNNNNNNNNNNNNNNNNNNNNNNNNNNNNNNNNNNNNNNCUUCUGCUAUAUGAAGUCUUUCGCCCGAAGAAAAAUCAUAAGCAAGCUUUCGGGACGAGACUCCGCCUCCACGAGGCGGAACCUUGGCGGAACCAAUCUAGGGCUCCGGCAGAGCUGUUCUGCCGGGACACUUCCCUCCGGGAGGGGGAAAUCAUCGCCAUCAUCAUAACCAACGCUCCUCUCAUCGGGAGACGGCAAUCUCCAUCAACAUUGUCGGAGUAAAUGACCACGGGUAGCCUAACCGACUCCCCCUGGCACUUCAAGAAAUUAUCAAGCCAAUCGAGCCUUCAAGCAUCCAAAACCACAGGGCCGCCUUUCCCUGGUCAGCUAUCUCAUAGGCCGAUUACUGGAAGGCGACCCGACCUCAAAAACCUUCUCGAAGAUAACCAUAAGAUGGCCGACUCCAGGAAGCCGGCCCCAAGUGGACCGACUCCCAGAAGCCGGCCACAAGAAGGCCGACUCCCAGAAGCUGGCCACAAUAAGGCCGACUCCCAGAAGCCGGCCACAAGAAGGCCGACUCCCAGAAGCCGGCCACAAGAAGGCUAACUCCCAGAGGCCGACCAAGACUGCGCCCUCAAAGGCCGCACCCACAUAACGGUGAUGAGACGGGGCGUGGCUACAGUACAGCCUGCCACCCCCGAAUCCUGGAGCACGCGAGGCCACAGUGCGCCGUAUGGGUCGGCCAUCCCCCGUCCGGCGCGGCACUGUUGCCAUGUUGACCAUGACGCCACCCACGACAGGUGCCAGUACGGCCCGUGGGCGGCGGGCCCCUUCAACCAGAGAGAUGCUCGAAGGUGGCCAGGCCUUCCCCAGUCGGCCUGGGGCGUAGCCGGCUCCCAAUAGCCGGCCACCUCCCUCCCUCGAAGUAUGUGCAUCAUUAAGGAGACAAGACGAGGUAAGGCUACAAUGAUAGCCCGCCAGGCGGCGGCACUGUAGCCAUGCUUACCUCGACGAAGCCCGUGUCAUCAGGGGCGAGGCUACAGUAAUCAGCCACCGACAAGGCCCCCAGGCGGUGGGGCCGGCCUGUCGGCCGAGAGGCCGGCAGCCGGCGGGACCCACCAGUCGGCGGGCCCCAGCAGUCGGCGGAGAAGCCGGCGAAUACAGACACUGACGGCCAGGACCCGCAUCUAGCCGGAUUACCAUUGUACCCCUGGGGGGUAGGCCUAUAUAAACCCCCCAGGGCACCCAUGCAAAGGAGUUGAUCUCAGAUAGUUUUAGACACCACAUAGAGAGAAAAGGAGAGCUAGCCUUGCCCUUCUUCUUCCUCUAGCCAAACUGCUCAAGGAGCCUCUUGUAGCUACGUGUAUUGAUCUACUGAUCAUGCGGAGACCCCGCAGAGCAGGAUUAGGGGUGUUAUCUCCACGGAGAGCCCCGAACCUGGGUAAGAUCCGCCGGCGUGCAUGUCUUCGCCUUAUCCCGCUUCCAGGCACAGGCGAUGUCUUACUGGCUCCCACAAUGAUAAGCCACCCGUUGGCAUAUGUCGCACCUACCACCCGACAUUUGGCGCCCACCGUGGGGCCGGGUGCACCGUCGUCCGGAGACCUGUUCUGGACAGGAACCCUUUUCCUCCCCCGCGAGCGUAGCCAGCCCGCCACGCCCGAUGGCGCUUGCCCCGACGCGCUGAGAGGCAUCGACGACGCCUGCGCAGCGAGCUGCCUCGCCGAUCUUCUUGGCGAAGCUCGCAUCUCCGACGAGCCUGCGUCCGACACGGGCACAGACUGCCCCGAGAGCCGCCUCGUCAGCCUCCUCGACCAGCUACACGUCUCCAGCGAGCUUGCUGUGGACUUGGAGUCGGUCGGCUCCACCGACCCGAUGCUGGUCGACUCCGACACGGCAUCGCUUGAUGCCUUCCCGGACCAACGUGGUGAUCAUCGACGACCCUCUCCCUCGAGCCAACAGUGGCAGCAGCGCUGUCACUGAGGUGUUGGUCAUCAGCCACGGCGCCGUCUCCGACGAGAACGCCCACGACGCCCUAGAAGCGGCGCUGCACGACUUGUCCGUCCCCAUCCCGGCUGACGCCGACGCCGAGACACUGGAGGCACGCCGCCUCGCCCUUGUCGCGGAAGGCCAGAAGAUAGCAUCCAUGAGACCCCUCACUGAGGCUCACCAGCGCGAAGUCGACCGCGCCGCCUUCGAUACGCCGCCUCCUGGCGGGCCGAGCUGCGCCGGCUUCGUCAAGAAGCGCGGUGCAGCCAUCGCCAGCAUGCUGGGAGAAGACCGCCCAGUCUACGCCACGCCACUCGAGAACCUGCAUGCCGCUCAGUCGGUCGUAGACGAGCUGAACGGGCUGGGGGCCGAUGAGCUUCCCUACAUGACUAGACGCAUCCAGCAGCUGAUCGACACAGCCGCAGAGCGGCAUGAAGCCAGCGCCCGCGCUGAAAGUCCUCCCCAACGCCGAGAGCACGGCGCGACAUCUCGGACGCCGACCGCAGACGGCGCCCGCGCAAGAAAAGACAAGGAGCCGGCUGCUAGCCGCAGUCGGACUCGGCUCACCAUCGAGCGCGACGCAGAAGGCCGCCCCUGAGCUGUGGAACGACGAGGCGAUCCGCCUCCUCCCCCACCUCGUGGGGAGAAAUAUCCUACAACACCGCCUGUCACGCAUCCGACUCUCGGCGGCCGGCUAAGCCACCGCGAGGGAGUCGGUGAGAAUGAUGCCCGCCACCGGAUCAACCGCCUAGCGCGAUCCCUGGCACUAGAAGAAGAAGAUGAUGUCGGCCCGCCUUGCUUUGGCCCCCGCAUCCGCGACGAGCCCUGCCCCAAAGGGUUCUCGCUCCCAAGAGACACGCCAAAAUACAACGGCUCCGUGAAGCCAGAAGACUGGUUGAUCGACUACUCCACUGCAGUCAGCAUAGCGAACGGCAAUAGGCGCGUUGCCGUGAAGUAGGUCCCGCUCAUGCUUCAAGGCACGGCACGCACUUGGCUGAACAGCCUCAAGCCCUACAGCAUCAACAGCUGGCUGGACUUCACAGAAGUCUUCAUCCGCAACUUCACCAGCACGUAUAAGCGGCCUCCCAAGCCCCGCCAGCUCUCCUUGUGCGUCCAAGGGCCCAGCGAAUCAACUCGCGACUACCUCACGCGUUGGGGCGAGCUCCGCAACUCCUGCGAGGGGGUGCACGAGGUUCAAGCCAUAGAGUACUUCACCGUCGGGUGCCGAGAGGGCGCCCUCCUCAAGCACCGACUACUCUGCGACGAGCCGACUACCCUCGACGAGCUGCUGAUCAUAGCAGACAAGUACGCCACGGCCGACUCCUCAAUGAAGAACGAGCUUCAAGUGGAUGCCUCUGGAAAGGUGCUCGCUCCGGCUCCCAAGACGCCGGCUGGUAAAUCCAACCGAUGCCCUUACCAGAGCGACAACAAGCGCAAGGCCUCUAUGCCCCCUUCCACCAGUCGGCAAGUAGCCACAGUCGAAGACGAAUGACCUGAAGAGCGGCCCGCGCCCAAGCAGCAGAAUGGCGGCAGGCCGGCUUGGAAGUUCCACAGCGGCGCGAAGCCGUCCAACCACACGACCCGGAAGUGCCAUUGGCUCACGCGGAUCUCCAAGGGCGAGGGGCUGGUGCCGCCUCCAGCCCCUCAGCAGCCGGCUGUUCGCCCAGCAGUCGGAGCCAUUCAAGAUGAGUUCCCAGACGAGCACGCCGCCUACGUCGUCUUCACAAGCCAAAUUGAAGACAGGCGCAGUCGGCGCCGACAGCACCAAGAAGUCAACGCGGUCGCCUCCAACAACCCCGAGUUCAUGCAUUGGUCUGAGAAGCCCAUCAGCUGGAGCCAGGCUGAUCACCCAGAGGUGAUGCCGUCUCCUGGCUCCUAUGCAUUGGUGUUGGACGCCACCCUCGCGACAGAAAGGCGAGCUGCCCGUUUCUCCCGUGUGCUGAUUGACGGCGGGAGCAGUAUCAACAUAUUGUACUGUGACACCAUGGAGAAGCUGAACCUCAAGACGAAGCAACUCAUGCCAAGCCGGACUGUGUUCCAUGGUAUCGUACCCGGCCUGUCCUGUUCCCCAAUCGGCAAGAUCAAGAUGGAUGUUCUCUUCGGAGACAAGAAUCACUUCCGCCGAGAGGUGAUCUGGUUUGAAGUGGUGGAUCUAGAGAGCCCUUACCACGCAUUGCUUGGCCGACCUGCCCUGGCCAAGUUCAUGGUUGUGCCCCACUACGCCUACCUCAAGAUGAAGAUGCCGAGUUCGAAGGGGAUCAUCACCAUAGCCGGAGACUACAAGAAAUCUUCCGAGUGUGCUGCAGCCAGCAGCCCGCUAGCCGAGUCCCUCGUGAUUGCUGAAGAAAAGAAGAUGCUGGACCGAGUCGUGGCCAUGGACGGCAAGCAGCCGGCCCUGUCCCCCGAUCCCAAGGAGUAUGACGCUCAAGGCUCCUUCCAGCCAGCCAAGGAAACCAAGAAGAUACCGCUGGACCCGGAGAACCCGGAGAGGUUUGAUGUCAUUGGGGCAAACCUGGACAGCAAAUAGGAAGGCGAGCUCGUCGACUUCCUCCGUGAGAAUCGGGACAUCUUUGCAUGGUCCCCAAAGGACAUGCCAGGUGUUUCGAAGGAUUUCACCGAGCACAAACUACACGUUUGAGCAGACGCAAAACCAGUCAAGCAACCCCUCCGCCGACUGUCGGAAGAGAAGAGAAGGAUUGUAGGAGAAGAUAUAGCCCGGCUCCUGGCAGCCGGCUUCAUUAUGGAGGUGUUUUUUCCAGAUUGGCUUGCCAACCCGGUCCUGGUGUUGAAGAAAAACAAUAAAUGGCGCAUGUGCAUAGAUUACACCAGCCUCAACAAAGCCUGCCCCAAAGAUCUGUUUGCCUUACCACGAAUCGAUCAAGUGAUAGACUCCACAGCCGGAUGCGAGCUGUUGAGUUUCUUGGAUGCUUACUCAGGCUACCACCAGAUCAAGUUGGAUCCAGCCGACCACCUGAACACCGCCUUCAUCACACCAUUCGGAGCUUUCUGCUACCUGACUAUGACAUUCGGCUUGAGAAAUGCCGGUGCCACUUUUCAGCGUUGCAUGCAGAAAUGCCUCCUCAAGCAACUCGGCAGAAAUUCCCACGUCUAUGUAGACGAUAUUGUGGUGAAGACGGAGAAGCGCGGCACCCUGCUGGAAGACCUCAGAGAAACAUUUGCCAACUUGCGCCGGUUUCAGAUCAAGCUCAACCCUGAGAAAUGCGUGUUCGGAGUGCCAGCCAGCCAGCUUCUAGGCUUUUUGGUCUCCAAACGCGGCAUCGAGUGCAACCCAGUGAAGAUCAAGGCCAUAGAGAGAAUGGAGAUUCCUACCAAGCUGCGAGACGUUCAGAAGUUUACCGGUAGCCUGGCCUCCCUAAACCGCUUCAUCAGCCGGCUAGGAGAGAAGGCUCUCCCCGUGUACCGACUCAUGAAGAAGUCCACCCACUUCGAGUGGAACGACCAAGCAAACCAAGCUUUCCACGAGUUGAAGAAGAUGCUGACCACGCUGCCUGUCCUGGCAGCGCCGACUGAGAAAGAGCCCAUGCUCCUUUACAUUGCCGCGAUUAGCCGAGUGGUCAGCACAGUGAUUGUGGUCCAACGCCUAGAAGAAGGCCGAGCUCAGUUAGUCCAGAGGCCGGUAUAUUAUUUGAGCGAAGUACUGUCCACCUCGAAGCAAAACUACCCGCACUACCAGAAGAUGUGCUAUGGAGUAUACUUCGCUGCCUAGAAGCUGAAGCCCUACUUUCAAGAGCAUCCCAUCACGGUCGUAUGCACGGCCCCGCUUGCCGAGAUCAUAGGCAGCCGGGAUGCAUCCGGCCGGGUGGCUAAGUGGGCCAUUGCGCUGGCUCCCUACACGAUCUUCUACUAGCCCCGCACCACCAUCAAGUCCCAAGCAUUGGCCGACUUCCUUGUCGACUGGGCCGAGACCCAGUACCUACCGCCGGCUCCCGACUCCACUCAUUGGCGGAUGCACUUCGAUGGGUCCAAGAUGCGCACCGGCUUGGGAGCCGGCAUCGUCCUUACCUCCCCCAAGGGCGACAAACUCAGAUACACACUGCAAAUUCAUUUUGCCGCCUCCAACAAUGUGGCCGAGUAUGAGGCGCUCAUACACGGGCUCCGGCUAGCCAAAGAGUUCGGCAUACGCCGGAUCCUGUGCUAUGGCGACUCGGAUCUAGUAGUCCAACAAUCAUCCAGCGAUUGGGACGCCAAGGACGCAAACAUGGCGAGCUACCGAUUCCUCGUCCAGCAAAUCUGCGGAUACUUUGAAGGAUGCGAGCUCCUCCACGUGCCACGGGCCGACAAUGAGCAAGCAGAUGCCCUGGCACGGAUCGGCUCCACCCGACAAGCUAUACCAACCGGCGUCUCUCUCCAACGCCUCCUCAAACCGUCUGUCAAGUCGUCUCUAGAAUCAGACUCCAUCUUCGUACCGCCUGCCCCUGAUGCAGUCGGAUCCGACUUGGGGAACCCAGCACCCGGCUCGGGGACUUUGACAGGCGGCCCGGGGACUGCGUAGUCACACCCGGCUCGGGGACUUCAGAACCCAGCCCGGGGACUGCAGCAGUCGGCCCGGGGACUGCAACGACACAACAGGCGGCGGCCGACUCCAACUCUUCACCACCCAACCCACCCACCCGGGUCACAGUAGCCGUAUGGCAAUAGAAGAAGUCAUAGCUCCAUCAUGGGCCCAACCCAUCCUCAACUUCUUGGUAAACAGAGAGCUACCGACUGACGAGAUCUCGGCAAGACAAGUUCAACGCCGAGCCGGAGCAUACACAAUAAUAAACAGAGAACUCGUUAAGCGCAGUGUCACUGGAGUCUUCCAGCGCUGCUUCGAGCCAGAGAAGGGCAUAGCAAUCCUCAAGGAUAUCCACCAAGGCGAAUGCGGCCACCACGCGGCCUCAAGAUCACUUGUCGCUAAAGCUUUCCGCCAUGGUUUCUUCUGGCCGACUGCUUUGGAGGACGCCAAGGAAUUAGUCAAAUGCUGCAAAGGGUGCCAAGUGUUCAGCUCCAAGCAACACCUGCCGGCUUCCGCACUCAAGACCACCCCCCUCACCUGGCCCUUUGCCGUCUGGGGGUUGGACAUGGUGGGCCCAUUCAAGACGGCGCGCGGCGGCAUGACUCAUCUGCUUGUCGCCGUGGACAAAUUCACCAAGUGGGUUGAAGCGAAGCCAAUCAAGAAGCUGAACGGGCCGACUGCCGUGACAUUCAUCGCAGAUAUCACCACCCGGUAUGGCAUACCACACAGCAUCAUCACCGACAAUGGCACGAAUUUUUCCAAAGGAGCACUGGCACGUUUCUGCGCGACACAGGGCAUCCGACUGGACUUAGCAUCCGUUGCCCACCCGCAGUCAAACGGCCAAGUCGAGCGAGCAAACGGCCUCAUCCUCUCCGGCAUCAAGCCCCGGCUGGUCGUACCACUGGAGCGUUCGGUUGGCUGCUGGCUCGAUGAGCUCCCGGCUGUCCUCUGGAGUCUGCGUACUACCCCGAACAAGUCAACCGGCUUCACUCCUUUCUUCCUUGUAUAUGGUGCCGAGGCUGUCAUCCCAACUGACAUCGAGUUCGACUCGGCUCGAGUCACCAUGUACACGAAGGUGGAGGCCCAGGAAGCGCGAGAAGACGGCGUCGACCUGCUGGAAGAGGGCCGGUUGUUAGCACUCAGCCGGUCCGCUAUCUACCAGCAGGGUUUGCGCCGUUACCACAACCGGAAGGUCAAGCCAAGAUCCUUCCAAGAAGGCGAUCUUGUGCUCCGGCUGAUCCAGCGAACAGCCGGCCAGCACAAGCUAUCGGCCCCUUGGGAAGGCCCCUUCGUCGUCAGCAAGGCCCUAGGCAACGACUCCUACUACCUGAUCGACGCACAGAAGCCGAAGGCACGCAAGAGAGAUGAUUCCGGCAAGGAGUCGGAACGACCAUGGAACGCCAAUCUCCUCAGAAGACUUUACAGUUGAAGGCAGUAUGUACCAUGCUACCUUUUUGUAUUAAGUACAAGACAACGGGCCCCCCGAGGUAUACUCGGGGACUACCCUCUUUUAUCUAUGUAUGACGAGUGUCAUACCUAUGAAUGUAUUGUUACAUUUGAUUUUCUGUCCGGCACCGGGUUCGACCAGUCGGCCCGGGGACUUGCCGCCUUGAGUUAUAUUAAAGUUCUACCUGCAGUCAGACAAGUAGUGUGCCAGCACCUGAGCCCUCUCUUGUUGAAAGUCACAGCUCGAAGAACCGACUGACCGACUGGCAAGAGCCGAAGGCAGGAAAGGAUGCCCACACGAAAAACGGCUAAGGACUAAUGAACCUAUAUAACACAAGCCUGCCUCCCAGCACGCCUACCGGCUGUCAGAACAGCCGGCUGGCCGGCUACCCAUUCACUUUGCUACAAUCCAAGAAAGCUAGAGUACUUCCCCUCCCAACCGGCCAAGCACUUCUCUGUUGGGGAACGUAGUAAUUUCAAAAAAAUUCUACGCACACGCAAGAUCAUGGUGAUGCAUAGCAACGAGAGGGGAGAGUGUUGUCCACGUACCCACGUAGACCGAUAGCGGAAGCGUUUAACACAACACGGUUGAUGUAGUCGUACGUCUUCACGAUCCGACCGAUCAAGUACCGAACGCACGGCACCUCCGAGUUCAGCACACGUUUAGCUCGAUGACGUCCCUCGAAUUCCGAUCCAGCCGAGUGUUGAGGGAGAGUUUCGUCAGCACGACGGCGUGGUGACAAUGUUGAUGUUCUACCAACGCAGGGCUUCGUCUAAGCACCGCUAUGAUAUUAUCGAGGUGUAAUAUGGUGGAGGGGGGCACCGCACACGGCUAAGAGAUCAAUGAUCAAUUGUGUGUAUAGAGGUGCCCCCUGCCCCCGUAUAUAAAGGAGCAAAGGGGGGGGUUCGGCCGGCCUAGAGGAGAGGCACGCCAGGAGGAGUCCUACUCCUACCGGGAGUAGGACUCCUCCCCUUUUCCAUGUUGGACUAGGAGAGAAAGGGGGAAGAGGUGGAGGGGAGGAAGGAAGGGGGGGCGCCGCCCCCCUCUCCUUGUCCUAUUCGGACUGGGGGGAAGGGGCACGCGGCCCUGCCCUGGCCUCCUCUCCUCUCUUCCACCUAGGCCCACUAAGGCCCAUUAAGUUACCGGGGGGUUCCGGUAACCUCCCAGUACUCCGGAAAAAUCCCGAUUUCACCCGUAACACUUCCGAUGUCCAAACAUAGGCUUCCAAUAUAUCAAUCUUUAUGUCUCGACCAUUUCGAGACUCCUCGUCAUGUCCGUGAUCACAUCCGGGACUCUGAACAACCUUCGGUACAUCAAAACAUAUAAACUCAUAAUAUAACUGUCAUCGUAACGUUAAGCGUGCGGACCCUACGGGUUCGAGAACUAUGUAGACAUGACCGAGACACCUCUCCGGUCAAUAACCAAUAGCGGAACAUGGAUGCUAAUAUUGGUUCCCACAUAUUCUACGAAGAUCUUUAUCGGUCAGACCGCAUAACAACAUACCUUGUUCCCUUUGUCAUCAGUAUGUUACUUGCCCGAGAUUCGAUCGUCGGUAUCUCGAUACCUAGUUCAAUCUCGUUACCGGCAAGUCUCUUUACUCGUUCCAUAAUACAUCAUCCCGCAACUAACUCAUUAGUCACAAUGCUUGCAAGGCUUAUAGUGAUGUGUAUUACUAAGUGGGCCCAGAGAUACCUCUCCGACAAUCGGAGUGACAAAUCCUAAUCUCGAAAUACGCCAACCCAACAAGUACCUUUGGAGACACCUGUAGAGCACCUUUAUAAUCACCCAGUUACGUUGUGACGUUUGGUAGCACACAAAGCGUUCCUCCGGUAAACGGGAGUUGCAUAAUCUCAUAGUCAUAGGAACAUGUAUAAGUUAUGAAGAAAGCAAUAGCAACAUACUAAACGAUCGAGUGCUAAGCUAACGGAAUGGGUCAAGUCAAUCACAUCAUUCUCCUAAUGAUGUGAUCCCGUUAAUCAAAUGACAACUCAUGUCUAUGGCUAGGAAACAUAACCAUCUUUGAUCAACGAGCUAGUCAAGUAGAGGCAUACUAGUGACACUCUGUUUGUCUAUGUAUUCACACAUGUAUUAUGUUUCCGGUUAAUACAAUUCUAGCAUGAAUAAUAAACAUUUAUCAUGAUAUAAGAAAAUAAAUAAUAACUUUAUUAUUGCCUCUAGGGCAUAUUUCCUUCAGUCUCCUUAGUGAUAAAGUAAAACAAUUACAUGGCGAUUGCAUUGCAUAUAAUAAAGCGACAACCAUAUGGCUCCUGCCAGUUGCCGAUAACUUGGUUACAAAACAUGAUCAUCUCAUACAAUAAAAUAUAGCAUCAUGUCUUGACCAUAUCACAUCACAACAUGCCCUGCAAAAACAAGUUAGACGUCCUCUACUUUGUUGUUGCAAGUUUUACGUGGCUGCUACGGGCUUAGCAAGAACCAUUCUUACCUACGCAUCAAAACCACAACGAUAGUUUGUCAAGUUGGUGCUGUUUUAACCUUCGCAAGGACCGGGCGUAGCCACACUCGGUUCAACUAAAGUGAGAGAGACAGACACCCGCCAGUCACCUUUAAGCAACGAGUGCUCGCAACGGUGAAACCAGUCUCGCGUAAGCGUACGCGUAAUGUCGGUCCGGGCCGCUUCAUCUCACAAUACCGCUGAACCAAAAUAUGACAUGAUGGUAAGCAGUAUGACUUAUAUCGCCCACAACUCACUUGUGUUCUACUCGUGCAUAUUACAUCAACACAUAAAACCUGGCUCGGAUGCCACUGUUGGGGAACGUAGUAAUUUCAAAAAAAUUCUACGCACACGCAAGAUCAUGGUGGUGCAUAGCAACGAGAGGGGAGAGUGUUGUCCAUGUACCCUCGUAGACCGAUAGCGGAAGCGUUUAACACAACGCGGUUGAUGUAGUCGUACGUCUUCACGAUCCGACCGAUCAAGUACCGAACGCACGGCACCUCCGAGUUCAGCACACGUUCAGCUCGAUGACGUCCCUCGAACUCCGAUCCAGCUGAGUGUUGAGGGAGAGUUUCGUCAGCACGACGGCGUGGUGACAAUGUUGAUGUUCUACCGACGCAGGGCUUCGCCUAAGCACCGCUACGAUAUUAUCGAGGUGUAAUAUGGUGGAGGGUGGCACCGCACACGGCUAAGAUUCUCCAGCCACAGACUGCAGAGGAGCUGUCCGGCUGGGAAGGCGACGACCAAGGGAGGGCGGCAAAGGAAACAGCCAAAGGAUGAAAAGCAAGAACAAUGGGAAGCCAAACACAUGCAUGAUUAUAUUUACACAAAAGGCCUUCGAAAGACCGGCACUCAACAUAGUUUGAAUACACCCCCAGUGGGUGGAACUGCGCAAAUUUAACAAAAUAUUGUUCAAAGAGUAAGAAAACAGGAAAGUAAAGGCGGCAGAUCAGGCUAAGGGUGCAACAGGUGAGUCGGGCAGGUCAGUGGAGGUGGCAGUGCCGGCUGGAGGAGUGGCCGGCUGGCGAGCCUCGGCUUGAUCAUCGCCGGCUGAAGGCAGCGCGCUCGCAUGCGCCUCGUUGCUGGAGGCACGAUCAAGUUGAGGCUGGCCGGUCGCUCCACCGUCUGGCACGGCGUCUUCACCAUCCUCUCCCUCCUCCUCUUCGCCCUCGUCGCUGGAGUCGAUCUCCUCCGCCGAGUCCUCACCAUCUGCUGGGUUCAGCCCGAACCAUUCCUCCGGCUGAGCAAUGCCGUCAUCAUCCACCUCAGGAGCAAAGACGCUGGUAUUGGUGUAGUCGGUGAUUGCCGAGGCGCGUUGGAUGAUAUCCGGCCGCACCGCCUCUAGCUCCUCCUCGGCCUCGUGCAGCCAGGUGGCCAGGUGGUCCAAGCUUAGCUCGGGAUACCAAGCUUUGACGAACUCCAGCGCCCGCCUGGCACCUGACCGAGCAGCAGAAGCCUUCCAGGCCUCAAAGCGGCCGGCCGCUACCUCCAGCCAGUCGGCAGUCCGACUGGGAGUGCGGGGAAUCACCUCGCCGGGCCAGAGGGCGGCCAGCACUUGCGCCCCAACACGUUGAAGCCGGCGGAGCAUGCGGUGAGCCGGCUGGAGGCGGGCUUGAAUCGCCAGGAGCUGUUCAUCAAGCGACUGGCGAGCGUUCGGCGCGAUCUCAGCGCCAGCCUGCCUUUGCGCCUCGCGGUGGGCCUCGAUGACCUGGUUGGCGGCAGUAGAGUAACCAGGGAAGUACUCUGCACAAGAAAGAAAGAAAGAGAACAAAGAGAAAAAUACAAAGUUAAAGAAUGAACCAAAUGGCAAGCGGCAAGCAAGGAACGAAGAAGAAGGCGGCCUACUGUCAACCAAGUCUUCGAUCUGGCCGUAGCCGUUGAUCAACGACUACCUCGCUUCAGCCCAGCUCGCCGCCUCGGUCUCGUACUCGGCUUGGAGGGCGGCCUCACUGUCCUGCACCGCCUUCAGGGCCGCCUUGUGGCUCUCCUCCUGGUCGGCCAGCCUCUUGACCAAGCGGUCACGCUCCUGAGCCAAGGCGUCGAACUCGGCUUCCUUGGCGCGAAGGGUGGUCUGGGUCCCACCCAGCUGCCCCCUCAGGUUGGCAUUGGCCUCUGCAGAUAUGGCAAAGAAGAAAAAAGCAAUAAGAAAGAAGUCGCCAGGAAAGAUCCGACCCGACUGCUCAGCAGUCGGCCCGAGUCUCGGGGACUACACCCAGUGGGUGCGCUGAUGCACCCCCACGUGAGAUAAAAGAUGAAGCACUCACGCCGGCUCUUAGUUAGAUCAGCGGUCUUCUGGGUCAGCUCCCGAGCCUGGGAGUUGAAGGCAGCCGCGCGGAGGUUAUGGUAGUCCUGCAAGUCGGACAAAGAAGCAAACAAGAGCAAGAUAAGCAAUCAAAGUCUACUAAGAAGUUCCAAGCCGCCUGCUUAGCAGCUGACUCAGAACUCGGGGACUACACCCAGUGGGUGCGCUGACGCGCCCCCACGGGAGAAAUCAAGAUCAAGAAACAAAAAAGCGAGAAGACUUACCCGAAUGGCCGUCCGUGUUGCGAGGAACUCUUGGUUGUACUGCCUCAGCACGGCGGCCUGGGACUGAAGCCGGUUCCGGACUUCUUGCGCCACCAUGUUUACCACGGCCGUCCCACCACCCGGCGUCCACCCCGAGCUGGCGCUGGCCGUCUCCAGAUCCUGAGCCGACGUGCUAGAGCCCGCGUCCUUCUGCCGGUCCGGCGCCGAAGCCGCCUUCCCCGCGUGUUGGCGCGAUGGCGUCCGGACCACCAGGUCCGUCCUCGGAGCUGGCUCGCCUCCAGCCGGUUGCGCGGGCGGCGCGUUAGGCCGGCUUCCCUGGCCCGCCCCAGUCGGCGAUGGCGGUGCCGUCUCCCUCUCCUGGACGACGACGUCGUCUUCCUCCCUCUCCAUCCCCGGCAGGUCGCCAUCGGCUUCCUCCGGCGGGGGCUCCGGGAUCUCGGGCGCCACGGCGUGCAGGGGGAUGACAAGCAAGGCCCCUGCCGCUGCCGCUGCGGCUACAGCCUCCGCCUGAGCCUUGGCCGCUGCGUCGGCUUGUGCCUUCGCCGACUCCUCCGCCAUCUCCUGCGUCGCCUUGGCGGCGGCCGCCCUCAGCUCCUCCACCUCCCGUUCCUCCCGCGCCUCCCGCGCGUUCCUCUCCGUCGCCGCUUGAAGCUCGGCACGGGGGUCCAUGCGGCGGGUGCUUGCGGAUCCUCCCGCCGAUCCAACCACGGAGGCGGCAGUGGUCCGCUCAAGAGAAAGCGGAGCCCUGUUUUUUGAGUCAAGACAAGGAUUCAGAAACCGAUAAGAAAAGAAGAAGGAAUACGCGAGAGAAUCGACACUUACGCUGAAACCUUUUGCGGCUGCUUCACCACCUUGUGGAAGCGGGCCGCCUUCGUGGCCGCCUCCUCCUGCCUGGUCGCCGCCGCUCCGCUGUUGGGCUUCUUCGGCCGACUGCCGAAUAGGCCCGACGUGGCCCGGUGCUACUGCGCAUCGCCUCGGGCAGCCGGCGCGGCAGAUGAGCCCGCGCCUUGAUCAGACGCCGGCUGGCGGCACGGGACAAUUUCCGCCUCGUCGUCAUCCGGCCAGUCGUCGAAGCUGGCUCCAAGCCCGGAGCCGCCUGCUUCGCCGCCUCCUGCCUCGGUGUUGUCGUCCAUGGUGGCCGCCCCCAAGUCAGGGUCGUCCAGGUCAUGCACCGCCCGGUCGGGGAGAAAUUGGCGGUCCGCCCCCGCUGCCCCGGCCGCCGGUCGAAGGAGAGGGCUCUGCCAAGACAAACUGACUGGUCAGAGUCGGCCAAGAAAAACUUGGUGACAAAACUAAAGAAGAGAAGAUAAAGAAAGCUUACCAUAGGCGGCGGAUUGGCACGGGAGUACGACUCCUUGCCAAACUGCCACUCCUCGGAGAGCUUGCAGUUCGCGAGAUAGUUCACCAUGUGAGCUACCUCGUCAUGAGGCAUCUCCUUGGUGCACAUCCGACUCGAAUCGAGUUGGCCACUCAUUUGACAGAUCAAAUGAGGGCGGCCUUGGAGCGGGAGCACCCGGCGCACCGCGAAGGCGGCCAGCAGGUCGGACCCGGUCAGGCCCUCCGACUGGAUCAUUACCCGGAGUCGGGCGACGGCGGCGGCUCUAGCCGGCGACAGCGUUCUGGCCCGAUAGGACCACUGGGGCCACCUCCCAGCUGGCAGGCCGGCUACGUAAGCCGGCAAGUUGACGAAGUCGCCUUGCGGGGCGACGUUCUUCACGUAGAAGUACGAUUUCUGCCAGAGCUUCACCGACUGGAUCAGCGCGAUGGCAGGGAAGGGGUUGUCGGCUAUCGGCCUCCGCAUCGCGAUGAAGGCGCUGCUCUGAGCCGGCAUGCCCUGCAUGCGGGUGCCGAGCUUGGACUGGAAGAAUUCCCCCCAGAGCUCAAGGGUGGGGAGAAUGCCAAGGAAGCCCUCGCACAGAGUGACGAAGGCGGACAGCAGCACCAUCGUGUUUGGAGUGAGGUGGUGCGGCUGGAGCUGGUAGAAUUCAAGGAAGGAGCGGAAGAAGGCGCUCGCGGGCAGGCCAAGGCCGCGCAGGAAAUGCGAGAGGAAGAUUACCCGCUUGCCUUCCUCUGGCGCCAGUGUGAUCUCCUUCUUCGGCGCAAGACGGACCCGCACCUGGUCCUUGCUGGGCAACCGCCGCGUCUUGCGGAGGAAGUCGAUGUGGUCCGCAUGGACGUUGGAGCCGUCCCAGUCUCCGCCGUGCUGCAUAACGGCAAGAAGCUGAUGAGGAAGGGCACGGAAACGGCGAAACCACGGCCCCGCGGCGGCGAAGCUGCGGGGUAGUGCGAAGACUAGAGGGACGGCGCGGCGGCGAGGGGCUGCUGCAACAAAGAAGAAGAAGAUGGUGGAGCGAGGGUGAGCGUGCGAGCGCCUGCCGCUCCCCCUCCUCCCCCUAUUUAUAGCCUCAUGCGGCGGAGCCGAGGAGGCGAGGCGAGGGGGAGAACGUGGGAUUAACUGCACCCACUCCCCCACGUCCCGCGAUCAUUACGCCCUAACGGCGUGCGGAAACUGCCGUUGGAGGGCGAACGGACCAUUUUGGGCCACAGAAGAUCCACACCUAGGCCUAGGCGUGGAAGUGGUGGGCCCCGGCCUGCGGCGGCGUCCCAUCGCACGCGUGGGCUGGCAGGCUUUUUCGGGUAUAAUUGUAUUAACUGGAAACCGUAAUACAUGUGUGAAUACAUAGACCACAACAUGUCCCUAGUAAGCCUCUAGUUGACUAGCUCGUUGAUCAAUAGAUGGUUAUGGUUUCCAGACCAUGGACAUUGGAUGUCAUUGAUAACGGGAUCACAUCAUUAGGAGAAUGAUGUGAUGGACAAGACCCAAUCCUAAGCAUAGCACAAGAUCGUGUAGUUCGUUUGCUAAGAGCUUUUCUAAUGUCAAGUAUCAUUUCCUUAGGCCAUGAGAUUGUGCAACUCCCGGAUACCGUAGGAAUGCUUUGGGUGUACCAAACGUCACAACGUAACUGGGUGGCUAUAAAGGUGCACUACAGGUAUCUCCAAAAGUGUCUGUUGGGUUGGCACGAAUCGAGACUGGGAUUUGUCACUCCGUAUGACGGAGAGGUAUCUCUGGGCCCACUCGGUAAUGCAUCAUCAUAAUGAGCUCAAUGUGACUAAGCAGUUAGUCACGGGAUCAUGCAUUACGGAAUGAGUAAAGUGACUUGCCGGUAACGAGAUUGAACGAGGUAUUGGGAUACCGACGAUCGAAUCUCGGGCAAGUAACAUACCGAUUGACAAAGGGAAUUGUAUACGGGAUUGAUUGAAUCCCCGACAUCGUGGUUCAUCCGAUGAGAUCAUCGUGGAACAUGUGGGAGCCAAUAUGGGUAUCCAGAUCCCGCUAUUGGUUAUUGGCCGGAGAGGUGUCUCGGUCAUGUCUGCAUGGUUCCCGAACCCGUAGGGUCUACACACUUAAGGUUCGGUGACGCUAGAGUUGUUAUGGGAAAUAGUUUGUGGUUACCGAAGGUUGUUCGGAGUCCCGGAUGAGAUCCCGGACAUCACGAGGAGUUCCGGAAUGGUCCGGCGGUGAAGAUCGAUAUAUUGGACGAAGGGUAUUGGAGUCCGGAAGUGUUCCGGGGAUACCCGGCUAUGGCCAGCAUGAUCGAAAGGUGUUUCGGGAGCCCCGGCAAGUGUUGGAGGGCCUCAUGGGCCAAAGGGGAAGGGGCAAACCAGCCCACUAAGGGGUGGUGCGCCCCCCACACCCUUUCCCACGUUACUUGGGGAGGUGGGGCGCCUCCACCUGGCUUGGGAGGCAAGCCUCCACCUGCUUGGCUUGGGGGGCAAGUCUCCCUAGGAUUUUCCCUAGGGAGAUCCAAUCUGCUUGGCCGUCGCCCCCUAGGGGAAACCCUAGGGCGCCUCCCCCUCUCCCCUUGCCCCUAUAUAUAGUGGAGGGGUGGGAGGGCAGCCGCACCUCUUCCCUGGCACAGCCCUCCCUCCUCCUACACCUCCGCCUUCUCCUCCGUAGUGCUUAGCGAAGCUCUGCCGGAGAACCACGAGCUCCAUUGCCACCACGCCGUCGUGCUGCUGGAGUUCUCCCUCAACUUCUCCUCUCCCCUUGCUGGAUCAAGAAGGAGGAGACGUCCCCGGGCUGUACAUGUGUUGAACGCGGAGGCGCCGUCCGUUCGGCGCUAGAUCGGACCUUCCGCGAUUUGAAUCGCCGCGAGUACGACUCCAUCAACCGUGUUCUUGUAACGCUUCCGCUUAGCGAUCUUCAAGGGUAUGAAUAUGCACUCCCUCUCUCUUGUUGCUAGCAUCUCCUAGAUUGAUCUUGGUGACACGUAGGAAAAUUUUGAAUUAUUACUACGUUCCCCAACAGUUUGUUCCUGAGGACAUGGGAGAAGUCUUGCUAUUAGUAGUCAUCUGAAUUUGGUAUUCAUUCGAUAUUUUGAUGAGAUGUAUGUUGUCUAUCCUCUAGUGGUGUUAUGUGAACAUCGACUACAUGACACUUCACCAUUAUUUGGGCCUAGAGGAAGGCAUUGGGAAGUAAAUAAGUAGAUGAUGGGUUGCUAGAGUGACAGAAGCUUAAACCCUAGUUUAUGCGUUGCUUCGUAAGGGGCUGAUUUGGAUCCAUAUGUUUCAUGCUAUGGUUAGGUUUACCUUAAUACUUUUGUUGUAGUUGCGGAUGCUUGCAAUAGAGGUUAAUCAUAACUGGGAUGCUUGUUCAAGUAAUAACAGCACCCAAGCACCGGUCCACCCACAUAUCAAAUUAUCAAAGUACCGAACGCGAAUCAUAUGAACGUGAUGAAAACUAGCUUGACGAUAAUUCCCAUGUGUCCUCGGGAGUGCUUUUCUCUAUAUAAGAGUUUGUCCAGGCUUGUCCUUUGCUACAAAAAGGAUUGGGCCACCUUGCUGUACUUUAUUUACUUUUGUUACUUGUUGCUCGUUACAAAUUAUCCUAUCACAAAACUAUCUGUUACCUAUUAUUUCAGUGCUUGCAGAGAAUACCUUGCCGAAAACCGCUUAUCUUUUCCUUCUGCUCCUCGUUGGGUUCGACACUCUUACUUAUCGAAAGGACUACGAUAGAUCCCCUAUACUUGUGGGUCAUCAAGACUCUUUUCUGGCGUUGUUGCCGGGGAGUGAAGCGCCUUUGGUAGGUGGAAUUUGGUAAGGAAAAAUUUAUAUAGUGUGCUGAAAUUUACUGUCACUUGUUACUAUGGAAAGUAAUCCUCUGAGGGGCUUGUUCGGGGUAUCUUCACCCCAACCAGUAGAGCAAAGAGUUGCUCCUCAACCUACUGAACCUACUGAAGAUGAAAAUGUUUACUUUGAAAUUCCUUCGGGUAUGUUAGAAAAACUGCUAGCUAAUCCUUUUGCAGGAGAUGGAACAAAGCAUCCUGAUGAGCACCUAAUAUAUGUGGAUGAAGUUUGUGGAUUAUUUAAGCUUGCAGGUGUGCCCGGUGAUGUUAUUAAGAAGAAGGUAUUCCCUUUAUCUUUGAAGGGAGAUGCAUUGACAUGGUAUAGGCUAUGUGAUGAUACGGGAUCAUGGAACUACAAACGAUUGAAAUUGGAAUUUCAUCAGAAAUUUUAUCCUAUGCAUCUUGUUCAUCGUGAUCGCAAUUAUAUAUAUAAUUUUUGGCCUCGCGAAGGAGAAAGCAUCGCUCAAGCUUGGGGGAGGCUUAAAUCAAUGUUAUAUUCAUGCCCCAAUCAUGAGCUCUCAAGAGAAAUGAUUGUUCAAAAUUUUUAUGCUCGGCUUUCUGAUAACAAUCGCACCAUGCUCGAUACUUCUUGUGCUGGCUCUUUUACUAUGAAGACUAUUGAAUUCAAAUGGGAUUUAUUGGAAAUAAUUAAACGCAACUCUGAAGAUUGGGAUCUCGACGAAGGUAAGGAGUCAGGUAUGACACCUAAGUUUGAUUGUGUUAAAUCUUUUAUGGAUACCGAUGUUUUCCGUAAAUUUAUCACUAAAUAUGGACUUGACUCUGAGAUAGUAGCUUCUUUCUGUGAAUCUUUUGCUACUUAUGUUGAUCUCCCCAAGGAGAAGUGGUUUAAAUAUCAUCCUCCCAUAGCCGUAAAAGUAGCUGCACCUAUUAAAGUUGAAGAAAAUACUAUCACUUAUAAUGAUCCUAUUGUUCCUACUUCUUAUGUUGAGAAACCACCUUUCCCUGUUAGGAUAAAGGAUCAUGCUAAAGCUUCAACUGUGGUCCGUAAAAGCAAUAUUAGAACUUAUACACCUCCUGAGCAAAUUAAAGUUGAACCUAAUAUUGCUAUUGUUAAAGAUCUCUUGUCUCAUAAUAUUGAUGGGCAUGUUAUUCAUUUCCGUGAUGAAACUGCUAGAAUUGCUAAACCUUGUGCUAAAGAUAAACAUAGACCUGUGGUAGGCAUGCCUGUUAUUUCUGUUAAAAUAGGAGAUCACUGUUAUCAUGGCUUAUGUGAUAUGGGUGCUAGUGCUAGUGCAAUACCUAUUGACUUAUACAAAGAAAUUAAGCAUGAUAUUGCACCUGCUGAGUUAGAAGAUAUUGAUGUCACAAUUAAGCUUGCCAAUAGAGAUAGUAUUUCACCAAUGGGAAUUGUUAGAGAUGUUGAAGUCUUGUGUGGGAAAACUAAAUAUCCUGCUGAUUUUCUUCUUCUUGGUUCCCCACAAGAUAGCUUUUGUCCCAUUAUAUUUGGUAGACCCUUCUUGAACACCGUUAAUGCUAGGAUAGACUGCGAAAAGGAUGUUGUUACUAUUGGUUUGGGUGAUAUGUCUCGUGAGUUCAAUUUCUCUAAAUUUUGUAGACAACACUGUGAAGAGGAAUUACCUAGUAAGGAUGAAAUUACUGGUCUUGCUUCUAUUGCCGUACCUCCUAGUGGUCCUUUAGAACAAUAUUUGCUAGACCAUGAAAAUGAUAUGUUUAUGAAUGAAAGAAGGGAAAUAGAUGAAGUAUUCUUUAAAAAGGAACCUAUCCUGAAACACAAUUUGCCUGUUGAAAUCCUAGGGGAUCCUCCUCCACCCAAGGGUGAUCCCGUGUUUGAGCUCAAACCGUUGCCUGAUACUCUUAAAUAUGCUUAUCUUGAUGAGAAAAAGAUAUAUCAUGUUAUUAUUAGUGCUAACCUUUCAGAGCAUGAAGAAGAGAGAUUAUUGAAAACUCUGAAGAAGCACCGUGCUGCUAUUGGAUAUACUCUUGAUGAUCUUAAGGGCAUUAGUCCCACUCUAUGUCAACAUAAAAUAAAUUUGGAGAAAGAUGCCAAACCAGUUCGUGAUCAUCAACGACGACUGAAUCCUAAGAUGAAAGAAGUGGUAAGAAAGGAAAUACUAAAGCUUCUUGAGGCAGGUAUUAUUUAUCCCGUUGCUGAUAGUCAGUGGGUAAGUCCAGUCCAUUGUGUCCCUAAGAAGGGAGGUAUUACCGUAGUUCCUAACGAUAAAGAUGAAUUGAUUCCGCAAAGAAUUAUUACAGGUUAUAGGAUGGUAAUUGAUUUCCGCAAAUUAAAUAAAGCUACUAAAAAGGAUCAUUACCCCUUACCUUUUAUCGAUCAAAUGCUAGAAAGAUUAUCUAAACAUACACAUUUUUUCUUUCUAGAUGGUUAUUCUGGUUUCUCUCAAAUACCUGUGUCAGCCGAUGAUCAAUCAAAGACCACUUUUGCUUGCCCUUUCGGUACUUUUGCUUAUAGACGUAUGCCUUUUGGUUUAUGUAAUGCACCUGCUACCUUUCAAAGAUGCAUGAUGGCUAUAUUCUCUGACUUUUGUGAAAAGAUUUGUGAGGUUUUCAUGGACGAUUUUUCCGUCUAUGGAUCCUCUUUUGAUGAUUGCUUGAGCAACCUUGAUCGAGUUUUGCAGAGAUGUGAAGAAACUAAUCUUGUCUUGAAUUGGGAAAAGUGCCACUUUAUGGUUAAUGAAGGUAUUGUCUUGGGGCAUAAAGUUUCUGAAAGAGGUAUUGAGGUUGAUAAAGCCAAGGUUGAUGCUUUGAAAAGAUGCCAUGUCCCAAGGACAUCAAAGGUAUAAGAAGUUUCCUUGGUCAUGCCGGAUUUUAUAGGAGGUUCAUUAAGGACUUCUCAAAAAUUUCUUGGCCUCUGACUAAUUUAUUACAAAAAGAUAUACCAUUUUUCUUCGAUGAUGAUUGUGUAGAAGCAUUUGAAAUACUUAAGAAAGCAUUGAUUUCUGCACCUAUCGUUCAGCCACCUGAUUGGAAUUUACCCUUUGAAAUUAUGUGUGAUGCCAGUGAUUAUGCUGUAGGUGUUGUUCUAGGGCAAAGAGUUGAUAAGAAAUUAAAUGUUAUUCAAUAUGCUAGUAGAACUCUAGACAAUGCUCAGAGAAAUUAUGCUACUACUGAAAAAGAAUUCUUAGCAGUCGUAUUUGCUUGUGAUAAGUUCAGACCUUAUAUUGUUGAUUCUAAAGUAACUAUUCACACGGAUCAUGCUGCUAUUAAAUAUCUUAUGGAAAAGAAAGAUGCUAAGCCUAGACUUAUUAGAUGGGUUCUCUUGCUACAAGAAUUUGAUUUGCAUAUUGUUGAUAGAAAAGGAGCUGAGAACCCCGUUGCAGACAACUUGUCUAGGUUAGAAAAUAUUCUUGAUGACCCACUACCUAUUGAUGAUAGCUUUCCGGAUGAACAAUUAAAUGUCAUAAAUACUUCUCAUACUGCCCCAUGGUAUGCUGAUUAUGCUAAUUACAUUGUUGCUAAAUUUAUACCACCUAGUUUCACAUACCAGCAAAAGAAAAAGUUUUUCUAUGAUUUGAGACAUACUUUUGGGAUGACCCACAUCUUUAUAAAGAAGGAGUAGAUGGUGUUAUUAGACGUUGUGUACCUGAGCAUGAACAGGAACAAAUCCUACGCAAGUGUCACUCCGAAGCUUAUGGAGGACACCACGUUAGAGAUAGAACUGCACAUAAGGUAUUGCAAUCUGGUUUUUAUUGGCCUACUCUCUUAAAGGAUGCCCGUAAGUUUGUCCUAUCUUGUGAUGAAUGUCAAAGAAUUGGUAACAUUAGUAAGCGUCAAGAAAUGCCGAUGAACUAUUCACUUGUUAUUGAACCAUUUGAUGUUUGGGGCUUUGAUUAUAUGGGACCUUUUCCUGCCUCUAAUGGUUACACACAUAUUUUAGUUGCUGUUGAUUAUGUUACUAAGUGGGUAGAAGCUAUUCCAACUAGUAGUGCUGAUCAUAACACUUCUAUUAAAAUCCUUAAAGAAGUUAUUUUCCCGAGGUUUGAAGUCCCUAGAUAUUUAAUGAUUGAUGGUGGUUCACAUUUUAUUCAUGGUGCUUUUCGUAAAAUGCUUGCAAAGUAUGAUGUUAAUCAUAGAAUUGCAUCCCCUUAUCACCCGCAGUCUAGUGGUCAAGUAGAAUUGAGCAAUAGAGAGCUCAAAUUAAUUUUGCAAAAGACUAUUAAUAGAUCUAGAAAGAAUUGGUCCAAGAAACUGGAUGAUGCAUUAUGGGCCUAUAGAACUGCAUAUAAAAAUCCUAUGGGUAUGUCUCCGUACAAAAUGGUUUAUGGAAAAGCAUGUCACUUACCUCUCGAACUAGAACAUAAGGCAUAUUGGGCUAUUAAAGAGCUCAAUUAUGAUUUCAAACUUGCCGGUGAGAAGAGGUUAUUUGACAUUAGCUCACUUGAUGAAUGGAGAACCCAAGCUUAUGAGAAUGCCAAGUUGUUUAAAGAAAAGGUUAAAAGAUGGCAUGACAAAAGAAUACAAAAGCGUGAGUUUAAUGUAGGUGAUUAUGUAUUGCUAUACAACUCUCGUUUAAGAUUUUUUGCAGGAAAACUUCUCUCUAAAUGGGAAGGCCCUUACGUUAUCGCGGAGGUCUAUCGUUCCGGUGCCAUAAAAAUUAACAACUUCGAAGGCACAAAUCCAAAGGUGGUGAACGGUCAAAGAAUCAAACAUUAUAUCGCAGGUAAUCCUAUAAAUGUUGAAACCAAUGUUAUUGAAACCGUAACCCUGGAGGAAUACAUAAGGGACACUUUCCGGAAUGUUUCAGACUCCAAAAAGGAAUAGGUAUGUGGUACGGUAAGUAAACCGACUCCAAAACAGUUCUAAUGGCAAUUUUUCUUCGUUUUGGAAUAUUUAGGAAAAUAGAAAAAUAAGAGGCAGUCCGGGAAGGACACAAGGCCUCCACGAGGGUGGAGGGCGCGCCCUACCCCCUGGGCGCGCCCCCCUACCUCGUGGGCACCUCGUGUGCUCUCCGGACUCCGUUUUCUUGCACGUUACGUAUUUUGGUCGGUAAAAAUUCAUUAUAUAAUCUCCCGAAGGUUUUGACUCCUGUAUCACACAAAUAUCCUGUGUUCUUCUUUCAAGCUGUUUUUCUGACAGAUCUAGAUCAUCAUGAUGUCUCCAACUACCCCCAAGGACAAGUUCUUCGAGAAGUUCAUCAAUCCCUACCUCGCGGAGGUGCUGCAACACCCUCAAACCAUUGAGGUGUGUGAGGGGGUGCUGCACAUCCGCGAUGUUGAGGGACCACGGAGGACCGAAAGCGUGGAGACAAGGCUUGAAGCAAUGGAGCAACAAGUUUUCAAGUGCCAGGAGAUGGUGGAGCAUGGACUUGACUCCAAUCACAUAAUGAUCACGGAGUUCACCAACAACCACAAGCUGGAUGCCAAGGACAUUGGGGAGGCCAUCUUCAAGCUCCACGAGAAAAUCGAGCACAUCCAAGCCCAAAUCUAUGACCUGCAAAACCAAAACUGUGAGUAUGAAUAUAGAUUCAAAAGGAUGAGUUUGGUUGCAGAUUUAAGGAUCCCGGAGACUCGAUCAUCUUUCUAUGAUGGUGAGCCUAUGCCUUGGAAGAUGGACGACAAGCCUACAUCAUCAACAAUCCCUUCACCAGCAAAGGAGACAUAAUCACAUGGGUAUGGGCACUCCCCUUGGCAACUGCCAAGCUUGGGGGAGAUGCCCCGGUAUCAUAUCACCAUCACACUCCUAUCUUUACCCUUUUUCUUAGUUCGAUCCUAUUAGUGGUAUCUUGAUCUAGUCGAAUAAAGUUUAUGGCAUGAUCUAGUUUUGAGUUUUGCUUUACGAUCUCUCUAUGUAAUCGAGUCCGUGAGCUAUAUAAUAAAGAUUAGUGUUGAGUCAAGGGCUUGAUUAUUUUGCCAUGAUCUUGAGUGAAUAAAAUAAAAGAGAAAAGAAUAAAAAGAAAUAAAGAGAUCAUAUUGAUCUUAUUGAGAGUAAUGACUUCACAUAGAAAGAGUAUGAUGAUUAAAAAUUGUUGAGAGUUGACAAACAUAGCUUUGGUCAUCGUUGCAAUCAAUAGGAAGUAAUAAAGAAAGAGAGGUUUUCACAUAUAAAUAUACUAUCUUGGACAUCUUUUAUGAUUGGGAGCACUCAUUAAAAUAUGACAUGCUAAAGAGUUUAUGUUGGACAAGGAAGACAACGUAAUGGGUUAUGUUUUCUUAUAUCUGAGAUAAAGUAUAUUGUCAUGGAUCAUCCAACAUGUUGAGCUUGCCUUUCCCCCUCAUGCUAGCCAAAUUCUUUGCACCAAGUAGAGAUACUACUUGUGCUUCCAAAAACCCUUAAACCAGUUUUGCCAUGAGAGUCCACCAUAUCUACCUAUGGAUUGAGUAAGAUCCUUCAAGUAAGUUGUCAUCGGUGCAAGCAAUAAAAAUUGCUCUCUAAAUAUGUAUAAUUGAUUGGUGUGGAGGAAAUAAGCUUUAUACGAUCUUGUUAUGUGGAAGAAAUAAAAGCGACGGACUGCAUAAUAAAGGUUCAUAUCACAAGUGGCAAUAUAAAGUGACGUUCUUUCGCAUUAAGAUUUUGUGCAUCCAACCCUGAAAGCGCAUGGCAACCUCUGCUUUCCUCUGCGAAGGGCCUAUCUUUUAUUAUUAUCUUCUACCUUAUGCAAGAGUCAUGGUGAUUUUCACCUUUCCUUUUUAUAUUUUAUCCUUUGGCAAGCACAGGAUGUUCGAAACAUCCUGAUAGAUAUAUCUAAUUGGAUAUGGGUUGGCAUGAACUAUUAUUGUUGACAUUACCCUUGAGGUAAAAGGUUGGGAGGCGAAACUAUAAGCCCCUAUCUUUCUCUGUGUCCUAUUAAAACUCCGUAACCACAAGUAUUGCGCGAGUGUUAGCAAUUAUGAAAGACUAAAUGAUAGUUGAGUAUGUGGACUUGCUAGAAGGCUCUGACAUAGACUCUUUCUGAUGUUAUGAUAAAUUGCAAUUGCUUCACUGACUGAGAUUAUAGUUUGUUAGUUCUCAAUAAAGUUUCUGAUUCAUACUUUGCAUUGUGAAUAGAUUAUUACUUGAGCAUAAGAAAUCAUAUGACAAAAUCCAUAUAUGUUGCUGUUAUGAGAAUAAUCAUGAUGCCCUCAUGUCCGUAUUUUAUUUUAUCGACACCUCUACCUCUAAACAUGUGGACAUAUUUAUCGUUAUCGGCUUCCGCUUGAGGACAAGCGAGGUCUAAGCUUGGGGGAGUUGGUACGUCCAUUUUGCAUCAUGCUUUUAUAUUGAUAUUUAUUGCAUUAUGGGCUGUUAUUACACAUUAUGUCACAAUACUUAUGCCUAUUCUCUCUUAUUUUACAAGGUUUACAUAAGGAGGGAGAAUGCCGGCAGCUGGAAUUCUGGGCUGGAAAAGGAGCAAAUAUUAGAGACCUAUUCUGCACAACUCCAAAAGUCCUGAAACUCCACGAAAGUUAUUUUUGGAAAUAAUAAAAAAUACUGAGCGGAAGAAAUACGUCAGGGGGGCCUCCACCUGUCCACGAGGGUGGGGGGCGCGCCCCCUGCCUCGUGGGCCUCCUGUUGGUCCUCCGGUGGCCAUCUUCUGCUAUAUGAAGUCUUUUGUCCGAAGAAAAAUCAUAAGCAAGCUUUUGGGACGAGACUCCGCCGCCACAAGGCGGAACCAAUCUAGGGCUCCAGUAGAGCUGUUCUGCCGGGGACACUUCCCUCCGAGAGGGGGAGAUCAUCGCCAUCGUCAUCACCAACGCUCCUCUCAUCGGGAGAGGGCAAUCUCCAUCAACAUCUUCACCAGCACCAUCUCCUCUCAAACCCUAGUUCAUCUCUUGUAUCCAAUUCUUGUCUCCAAGUCUGGGAUUGGUACCUGUAGGUUGCUAGUAGUGUUGAUUACUCCUUGUAGUUGAUGCUAGUUGGUUUAUUUGGUGGAAGAUCAUAUGUUCAGAUCCUUUAUGCAUAUUAAUACUCCUCUGAUUAUGAACAUGAAUAUGCUUUGUGAGUAGUCACAUUUGUUCCUGAGGACAUGGGAGAAGUCUUGCUAUUAGUAGUCAUGUGAAUUUGGUAUUCGUUCGAUAUUUUGAUGAGAUGUAUGUUGUCUAUCCUCUAGUGGUGUUUGUGAACGUCGACUACAUGACACUUCACCAUUAUUUGGGCCUAGAGGAAGGCAUUGGGAAGUAAUAAGUAGAUGAUGGGUUGCUAGAGUGACAGAAGCUUAAACCCUAGUUUAUGCGUUGCUUCGUAAGGGGCUGAUUUGGAUCCAUAUGUUUCAUGCUAUGGUUAGGUUUACCUUAAUACUUUUGUUGUAGUUGCGGAUGCUUGCAAUAGAGGUUAAUCAUAAGUGGGAUGCUUGUUCAAGUAAGAACAACACCCAAGCACCGGUCCACCCACAUAUCAAAUUAUCAAAGUACCGAACGCGAAUCAUAUGAACGUGAUGAAAACUAGCUUGAUGAUAAUUCCCAUGUGUCCUCGGGAGCGCUUUUCUCUAUAUAAGAGUUUUUCUAGGCUUAUCCUUUCCUACAGAAAGGAUUGGGCCACCUUGCUGCACUUUAUUUACUUUUGUUACUUGUUGCUCGUUACAAAUUAUCCUAUCACAAAACUAUCUGUUACCUAUUAUUUCAGUACUUGCAGAGAAUACCUUGCUGAAAACCGCUUAUCAUUUCCUUCUGCUCCUCGUUGGGUUCGACACUCUUACUUAUCGAAAGGACUACAAUAGAUCCCCUAUACUUGUGGGUCAUCAAUCACCAACGCUCCUCUCAUCGGGAGAGGGCAAUCUCCAUCAACAUCUUCACCAACACCAUCUCCUCUCAAAACCUAGUUCAUCUCGUGUAUCCAAUUCUUGUCUCCAAGUCCGGGAUUGGUACCUGUAGGUUGCUAGUAGUGUUGAUUACUCCUUGUAGUUGAUGCUAGUUGGUUUAUUUGGUGGAAGAUCAUAUAUUCAGAUCCUAUAUGCAUAUUAAUACCCCUCUGAUUAUGAACAUGAAUAUGCUUUGUGAGUAGUUACGUUUGUUCCUGAGGACAUGGGAGAAGUCUUGCUAUUAGUAGUCAUGUGAAUUUGGUAUCCGUUCGAUAUUUUGAUGAGAUGUAUGUUGUCUAUCCUCUAGUGGUGUUAUGUGAACAUCGACUACAUGACACUUCACCAUUAUUUGGGCCUAGAGGAAGGCAUUGGGAAGUAAUAAGUAGAUGAUGGGUUGCUAGAGUGAAAGAAACUUAAACCCUAGUUUAUGCGUUGCUUCGUAAGGGGCUGAUUUGGAUCCAUAUGUUUCAUGCUAUGGUUAGGUUUACCUUAAUACUUUUGUUGUAGUUGCGGAUGCUUGCAAUAGAGAUUAAUCAUAAGUGGGAUGCUUGUUCAAGUAAGAACAGCACCCAAGCACCGGUCCACCCACAUAUCAAAUUAUCAAAGUACCAAACGCGAAUCAUAUGAACGUGAUGAAAACUAGCUUGACGAUAAUUCCCAUGUGUCCUCGGGAGCGCUUUUCUCUAUAUAAGAGUUUGUCUAGGCUUGUCCUUUGCUACAAAAAGGAUUGGGCCACCUUGCUGCACUUUAUUUACUUUUGUUACUUGUUGCUCGUUACAAAUUAUCCUAUCACAAAACUAUCUGUUACCUAUUAUUUCAGUGCUUGCAUAGAAUACCUUGCUGAAAACCGCUUAUCAUUUCCUUCUGCUCCUCGUUGGGUUCGACACUCUUACUUAUCGAAGGACUAUGAUAGAUCCCCUAUACUUGUGGGUCAUCAGCCAGCCCUUCCAAAGCCGUCCACAAUCACAUUCUCCGCCCGGAGAAUCUUCACGUGCCAACAGUAACUCUCCCCACCCCCCUCCGUCGUCAUUUCUUUCAACCCCUCCCCCUGCUACAAACUCUAACUCGGACCCUGCUGCGGCGGACACAGCUCUCCCUCUUCAGGAUCUUGACACUCAUGAGUGCACUGCUCGCAAGGAGCGCCGCAGGUAUGCUCGCGAUCGCUCUGUCUCCAAGGACAAGUUACGCCGGAGCGCACGUCUUGCUGCCAAAGAAACCAAGUAUUCCCUCAUGCUCGCCAAAGCUGUCAAGGCCAAGGCAGCUCGCCUCUCCACCUCCGACGUUGACACGGCCAUUGGACAUGCUAUCCAGGAUGCCCGCCUUGAUGCUCCCGACGGCCCACUUGCCUCGGCUGAAGACUUGGCCACGAUCGCGCUCCUCUGUGGCGCGGACGACGGCCACCUCGACGCCAUCCUCUCCUCCGAGGAGGCCGCCUCUGGUGACGACUCCGAGCCAUGAUCGCUGCCCCAUCCAUGCACGGCCCACGGACGUCUGGGGCCCACUGCAAGUUAACGUCCGUCUCUAUUAGUUGUAGUUGUCACGUGUGUCAUGUCGCGCUGCUCUUUUGGACUCUGUGCGCAUUGCCUUUUGUUUGGCUAUCUGCUGUCUCAACUGAUGUAGUAGGUCUCAUGUACUCCUUCGCGCUUUCCGCCGUCCGCCUGUGGUGUCGAAAAACCUUUUAUGAGUAAUGAUGUAAGCUCUAUCUGCUCCUGGAAUGUAUGUGGUCUGGGUGAUGACGACAAGUGUAAUGUUGUCCUCUCUGAACUUUUAGCGAUCAACCCUCACGUUGCCCUCUUGCAGGAAUCUAAACUAGAAUCUUACACCGACGCCAAGCUUCGCUCCUUUCUACCCUUCCACCUCGACCAAGCCUUUCCACUGCCCGCCAUUGGCACGACCGCGGCACCAUAACCGCCGUUAACCCCUCCUCUCUCCAGGUCAUCUCGCACUCGCACAAAAUUUUCUCCUCCACCGUAACUCUAAGAUCAACUGCAUGUGCCCUCAACAUCGCCAUCACCAACAUCUACGCUCCCUCUACACGUGCCCUCAAACAAGCUUUCUUUGCCGACCUCCUCUCCAUCGCGCAACCUGACCAUGCUCCUUGGCUUGUCCUCGGCGAUUUCAACCUCCUUCGCUUUCCCUCGGACAAAAACAACUCCUCCUUUCGACAGUUAGAAGCUAAUGCCUUUAACCACGUUAUCGACACCUUAGCCCUCAUUGAACUGCCUCUCCUCGACCGACAAUUUACGUGGACCAACAACCGCUCCUCGUCCGAACAUCAUAACUGCACCCUAUUGGAUAUGGUGCAUUCCAUGAUGUUUCUUAUCAAAUUACCACUAUCGUUUAUGGGUUAGGCAUUAGAGACAACCGCAUUCACUUUAAAAGGGGCACCACGCAAUUCCGUUGAGACGACACCGUUUAUAGAAACCUAAGUUGUCGUUUCUUAAAAGUUUGGGGCUGCGAUGCUUAUGUGAAAAAGUUUCAGGCUGAUAAGCUCGAACCCAAAGUGGAUAAAUGCAUCUUCAUAGAAUACCCAAAAACAGUUGGGUAUACCUCCUAUUUCAGAUCUGGAAGCAAAAGUAAUUGCUUCUAGAAACGAGUCCUUUCUCGAGGAAAAGUUUCUCUCGAAAGAAUUGAGUGGGAGGAUGGUGGAGACUUGAUAAGGUUAUUGAACUGUCGCUUCAACUAGUGUGUAGCAAGGCACAGGAAGUUGUUCCUGUGGCACCUACACCAAUUGAAGUGGAAGCUUAUGAUGGUGAUCAUGAAACUUCGGAUCAAGUCACUACCAAACCUCGUAGGACGACGAGGAUGCACACUACUUCAGAGUAAUGCGUGAUCCUGCCUUGGAAGUCAUGUUGCUAGACAACUAUGAACCUACGAGCUAUGGAGAAGCGAUGGUGGGCCCAUAUUCCGACGAAUGGCUCGAGGCCAUGAAAUCCGAGAUAGAAUCCAUGUAUUAGAACAAAGCAUGGACUUUGGUGAACUUGCCCGUUGAUCGGCAAGCCAUUGAGAUAAAUGGAUCUUUAAGAAGAAGACGAACAUGGACGGUAAUGUUACCGUCUAAGAAGCUCGACUUGUGGCAAAGAGUAUUUUCACAAGUUCAAGGAGUUGACUACGAUGAGUUUUUCUCAUCCGUAGUGAUGCUUAGGUCCGUCGGAAUCAUGUUAGCAUUAGCUACAUUUAUGAAAUCUGGCAGAUGGAUGUCAAAACAAGUUUCCUUACCAGUUUUCGUAAGGAAAGGUUGUAUAUGAUACAAUCAGAAAGGUUUUGUCGAUCCUAAGGAUGCUAAAAGGUAUGCUAGCUCCAGCGAUCCUUCCCUGGAUUAGAGCAAGCAUCUCGGAGUCAGAAUAUACGCUUUGAUGGAGUGAUCAAAGUUUUUGGGUUUAUACAAAGUUUGUUAGAAUCUUGUAUUUACAAUAAAGUGAGUGGGAGCGCUACAACAUUUCUGAUAAUUAUAUGUGAAUGACAUAUUGUUGAUCCGAAAUGAUGUAAAAUUUCUGGAAAGCAUAAAGGGUUGUUUGAAAGGAGUUUUUCAAAGGAAGACCUGGAUAAAGCUACUUACAUAUUGGGCAUCAAGAUCCAUAGAGAUAGAUCAAGACGCCUGAUGAUACUUUCAAAAGACAGCACACCUUGACAUGAUUUUGAAAGAGUUCAAAAUAGAUCAGCAAAGAAGGAGUUAUUGGUUGUGUUACAAGGUGUGAGUAUUGAGUGAGACUCAAGACCUGACCACAGCAGAAGAUAGAGAAAGGACGAAGGUCGUCCCCUAUGCUUUAGACGUAGGCUCUAUUGUAUGCUAUGUUGUGUACCGCACAUGUAGUGUGCCUUGCCAUGAGUUGGUCAAGAGGGUACAAUGGUGAUCCGGGAAAGGAUCUCAUGACAGCGGUUGAACUUAUCCUUAGUACCUAGUGGAUUAAGGAAUUUUCUCGAUUAUGGAGGUGGAAAGGAGUUCGUCAUAAAGGGUUACGUCGAUGCGAACUUUGACACUAAUCCGGAUGACUCUGAGUAGUAAACCGGAUUCGUAUAGUAGAGCAAUUAUUUGAAAUGGCUCCAAAUAGCGCGUGGUAGCAUCCACAAAGAUGACAUAGAUAUUCGUAAAGCACACGGUUCUGAAAGGUUCAGACCCGUUGACUAAUAACCUCUCUCACAAGCAUAACAUGACCAAACCAGAACACAUUGAGUGAUAAUCACAUAGUGAUGUGAACUAGAUUGUUGACUCUAGUAAACUCUUUAGAUGUUGGUCACAUGGUGAUGUGACCAGUGAGUGUUAAUCACAUGGUGAUGUGAACUAGAUUAUUGACUCUAGUGCAAGUGGGAGACUGUUGGAAAUAUUCCCUAGAGGCAAUAAUAAAUUGGUUAUUAUUAUAUUUCCUUAUUCAUGAUAAUCGUUUAUUAUCCAUGCUAGAAUUGUAUUGAUAGGAAACUCAGAUACAUGUGUGGAUACAUAGACAACACCAUGUCCCUAGUAAGCCUCUAGUUGACUAGCUCGUUGAUCAAUAGAUGGUUACGGUUUCCUGACCAUGGACAUUGGAUGUCGUUGAUAACAGGAUCACAUCAUUAGGAGAAUGAUGUGAUGGACAAGACCCAAUCCUAAGCAUAGCAUAAAAGAUCGUGUAGUUUCGUUUGCUAGAGCUUUUCUAAUGUCAAGUAUCUUUUCCUUAGACCAUGAGAUCGUGCAACUCCCGGAUACCGUAGGAGUGCUUUGGGUGUGCCAAACGUCACAACGUAACUGGGUGACUAUAAAGGUGCAUUACGGGUAUCUCCGAAAGUGUCUGUUGGGUUGGCACGGAUCGAGACUGGGAUUUGCCACUCCGUGUGACGGAGAGGUAUCUCUGGGCCCACUCGGUAAUGCAUCAUCAUAAUGAGCUCAAUGUGACUAAGGCGUUAGUCACGGGAUCAUGCAUUGCGGUACGAGUAAAGAGACUUGCCGGUAACGAGAUUGAACAAGGUAUUGGGAUACCGACGAUCGAAUCUCGGGCAAGUAACAUACCGUUUGACAAAGGGAAUUGCAUACGGAUUGAUUGAAUCCUCGACACCGUGGUUCAUCCGAUGAGAUCAUCGUGGAACAUGUGGGAGCCAACAUGGGUAUCCAGAUCCCGCUGUUGGUUAUUGACCGGAGAGGCGUCUCGGUCAUGUCUGCAUGUCUCCCGAACCCGUAGGGUCUACACACUUAAGGUUCGGUGACGCUAGGGUUAUAGAGAUAUAUGUAUGCGGAAACCCGAAAGUUGUUCGGAGUCCCGGAUGAGAUCCCGGACAUCACGAGAGGUACCGGAAUGGUCCGGAGGUGAAGAAUUAUAUAUAGGAAGUCCAGUUUCGGCCACCGGGAAAGUUUCGGGGGUUACUGGUAUUGUACCGGGACCACCGGAAGGGUCCCGGGGGUCCACCGGGUGGGGCCACCUAUCCCGGAGGGCCCCGUGGGAUGAAAGUGGAAGGUAACCAGCCCCUAGUGGGCUGGGCGCCCCCCCAUGGGCCUCCCCCCAUGCGCCUAGGGUUGGGAACCCUAGGGUGGGGGACUUCCCCCUUGCCUUGGGGGGCAAGCAACCCCUUGCCACCCCUUGGCCGCCGCCCNNNNNNNNNNNNNNNNNNNNNNNNNNNNNNNNNNNNNNNNNNNNNNNNNNNNNNNNNNNNNNNNNNNNNNNNNNNGGGCCUAUAUAAAGGGGGGAGGGAGGGCAGCAACAUACAGCCUUGGGCGCCUCCCUCCUCCCCGGCAACACCUCUCUCUCUCGCAGAAGCUUGGCGAAGCCCUGCCGGAGACCCGCUACAUCCACCACCACGCCGUCGUGCUGCUGGAUCUCCAUCAACCUCUCCUUCCCCCUUGAUGGAUCAAGAAGGAGGAGACGUCGCUGCACCGUACGUGUGUUGAACGCGGAGGUGCCGUCCGUUCGGCACUCGGUCAUCGGUGAUUUGGAUCACGGCGAGUACGACUCCGUCAUCCACGUUCAUUGGAACGCUUCCGCUCGCAAUCUACAAGGGUAUGUAGAUGCACUCCUUUCCCCUCGUUGCUAGUAGACUCCAUAGAUGCAUCUUGGUGAGCGUAGGAAAAUUUUAAAUUAUGCUACGAUUCCCAACAGUGGCAUCAUGAGCCAGGCCUAUGUGUAGUUACUAUGCACGAGUAGAACACAAAGCAGUUGUGGGCGUUGAGUUUGCCAAUUCUUCUUGCCGCUACUAGUCUUUUCUUGUUUCGGCGGCAUUGUAGGAUGAAGCGGCCCGGACCGACCUUACAUGUACACUUACGUGAGACAGGUUCCACCGACUGACAUGCACUAGAUGCAUAAGGUGGCUAGCGGGUGUCUGUCUCUCCUACUUUAGUCGGAACGGAUUCGAUGAAAAGGGUCCUUAUGAAGGGUAAAUAGAAAUUGGCAAAUCACGUUGUGGUCAUACGUAGGUAAGAAACGUUCUUGCUAGAAACCUACAAACCACGUAAAAACUUGCAACAACAAUUAGAGGACGUCUAACUUGUUUUUGCAGCAAGUGCUAUGUGAUGUGAUAUGGCCAGAAGAUGUGAUGAAUGAUAUAUGUGAUGUAUGAGAUUGAUCAUAUUCUUGUAAUAGGAAUCACGACUUGCAUGUCGAUGAGUAUGACAACCGGCAAGAGCCAUAGGAGUUGUCUUUAUUAUUUUGCAUGACCUGCGUGUCAUUGAAUAACGCCAUGUAAAUUACUUUACUUUGUUGCUAAACGCGUUAGCCAUAGAAGUAGAAGUAAUCAUUGGCGUGACGACUUCAUGAAGACACAAUGAUGGAGAUCAUGAUGAUGGAGAUCAUGGUGUCAUGCCGGUGACAAAGAUGAUCAUGGUGCCCCGAAGAUGGAGAUCAAAGGAGCAUAAUGAUAUUGGCCAUAUCAUGUCACUAUUUGAUUGCAUGUGAUGUUUAUCAUGUUUUUGCAUCUUAUUUGCUUAGAACGACGGUAGUAAGUAAGAUGAUCCCUUAUAAUAAUUUCAAGAAAGUGUUCACCCUAACUGUGCACCGUUGCAAAGGUUCGUUGUUUCGAAGCACCACGUGAUGAUCGGGUGUGAUAGAUUCUAACGUUCGAAUACAACGGGUGUUGACGAGCCUAGCAUGUACAGACAUGGCCUCGGAACACACGCAAUACACUUAGGUUGACUUGACGAGCCUAGCAUGUACAGACAUGGCCUCGGAACACGGAGGACCGAAAGGUCGAGCAUGAGUCGUAUAGAAGAUACGAUCAACAUGGAGAUGUUCACCGAUCUUGACUAGUCCGUCUCACGUGAUGAUCGGACACGGCCUAGUUAAACUCGGAUCAUGUUUCACUUAGAUGACUAGAGGGAUGUCUAUCUGAGUGGGAGUUCAUAAUCAGAUGAACUUCAUUAUCAUGAACAUAGUAAAAAAGGUAUUUGCAAAUUAUGUCAUAGCUUGCGCUUUAGUUCUACUGGUUAAGAUAUGUUCCUAGAGAAAAUUUAGUUGAAAGUUGGUAGUAGCAAUUAUGCGGACUGGGUCCGUAAACUGAGCAUUGUCCUCAUUGCUGCAGAAGGCUUAUGUCCUUAAUGCACCGCUCGGUGUGCUGAACCUCAGCGUCGUCUGUAGAUGUUACGAAACAUCUGACAUACACAUUUUGAUGACUACAUGAUAGUUCAAUGCGGUUUAGAAUUGAGGCACCAAAGACGUUUUUGAAAUGUCGCAGAACAUGUGAGAUGUUCCGAAGACUGAAAUUGGGAUUUCAGACCAGUGCCCACGUCAAGAGGUAUGAGACCUCUGACAAGUUUCUUAAGCCUGCAAACUAAGGGAGGAAAGCUCAAUCGUUGAGCGUGUGCUCAGAUUGUCUGAGUGCCACAAUCGCUUGAAUCGAGUGGGAGUUAAUCUCCCAGAUGAGAUAGUGAUAGUUCUCCAUAGUCACUGCCACCAAGCUAGUAGAGCUUCGUGAUGAACUAUAACAUAUCAAGGAUAGUUAUGAUGAUCCUUGAGCUAUUCGCGAUGUUUGACACCGCGAGAGUAGAAAUCAAGAAGGAGCAUCAAUUGUUGAUGGUUAGUAAAACCACUAGUUUAAGAAGGGCAAGGGCAAAAGGGAUACUUCAUGAAACAGCAAGUCAUUUGCUGCUCUAGUGAAGAAUCCCAAGGUUGAACCCAAACCCGAGACUAAGUGCUUCUGUAAUGAGAGGAACGGUCACUGAAGCAGUACUACCCUAGAUACUUGGUAGAUGAGAAGGCAGGCAAGGUCGACAGAAGUAUAUUGGAUAUACGUUACAUGAAUGUGUACUUUACUAGUACUCCUAGCAGCACCAGGGUAUUAGAUACCGGUUCGGUUGCUAAGUGUUAGUAACUCAAAAUAAAAGCUGCGGAAUAAAUGGAGACUAGCUAAAGGUGAGAUGACGAUAUGUGUUGGAAGUGUUUCCAAGGUUGAUGUGAUCAAGCAUCGCAUGCUCCCUCUACCAUCGAGAUUUGGUGUUUGCGUUGAACAUGAUUGGAUUAUGUUUACCGCAAAACGGUUAUUCAUUUAAGGAGAAUAAUGGUUACUCUGUUUAUUUGAAUAAUACCUUCAAUGGUCUUGCACCUAAAAUGAAUCUCGAUCGUAGUGAUACACAUGUUCAUGCCAAAAGAUAUAAGAUAGUAAUGAUAGUACCACAUACUUGUGGCACUGCCACUUGAGUCAUAUUGGUGUAGAACGCAUGAAGAAGCUCCAUGUAGGUGGAUCUUUGGACUCACUCGUUUUUGAAAAGAUUGAGACAUGCGAACCAUGUCUAUUGGUAUAUAUGCAUGAAGAAACUCCAUACAGAUGGAUCGUUUGGACUCACUUGAUUAUGAAUCACUUCAGACAUGCAAAUCAUACCACAUGGGCAAAAUGACUGAAAGUCCUCGUUUUCAGUGAGAUGGAACAAGAGAGCAACUUAUUGGAAGUAAUACAUUUUGAUGUACGCAGUCCAAUGAGUGCUGAGGCAUGCAGUGGAUAUCAUUAUGUUCUUACUUCACAGAUGAUUUGAGUAGAUGCUGAGUGUAUUUACUUGAUGAAACACUAGUCUGAAUUAUUGAAAGGUUCAAGUAAUUUCAGAGUGAAGUUGAAGAUCGUCGUGACAAGAGGAUAAAAUGUCUGUGAUAUGAUCAUAGAGAUGACUAUCUGAGAUACGAGUUUGGCACACAAUUGAGACAUUGUGGAAAGUGUUUCACAAUUAAUACCGCCUGGAACACCAUAGUGUGAUGGUGUGUCCGAACAUCAUAACUGCACCCUAUUGGAUAUAGUGCAUACCAUGAUGUUUCUUAUCAAAUUACCACUAUCGUUUAUGGGUUAGGCAUUAGAGACAACCGCAUUCACUUUAAAAGGGGCACCACGCAAUUCCGUUGAGACGACACCGUUUAUAGAAACCUAAGUUGUCGUUUCUUAAAAGUUUGGGGCUGCGAUGCUUAUGUGAAAAAGUUUCAGGCUGAUAAGCUCGAACCCAAAGUGGAUAAAUGCAUCUUCAUAGAAUACCCAAAAAUAGUUGGGUAUACCUCCUAUUUCAGAUCUGGAAGCAAAAGUAAUUGCUUCUAGAAACGAGUCAUUUCUCGAGGAAAAGUUUCUCUCGAAAGAAUUGAGUGGGAGGAUGGUGGAGACUUGAUAAGGUUAUUGAACCGUCGCUUCAACUAGUGUGUAGCAGGGCACAGGAAGUUGUUCCUGUGGCACCUACACCAAUUGAAGUGGAAGCUUAUGAUGGUGAUCAUGAAACUUCGGAUCAAGUCACUACCAAACCUCGUAGGACGACGAGGAUGCGCACUACUUCAGAGUAAUGCGUGAUCCUGCCUUGGAAGUCAUGUUGCUAGACAACUAUGAACCUACGAGCUAUGGAGAAGCGAUGGUGGGCCCAUAUUCCGACGAAUGGCUCGAGGCCAUGAAAUCCGAGAUAGAAUCCAUGUAUCAGAACAAACAUUGGACUUUGGUGAACUUGCCCGUUGAUCGGCAAGCCAUUGAGAUAAAUGGAUCUUAAGAAGAAGACGAACAUGGACGGUAAUGUUACCGUCUAUGAAGCUCGACUUGUGGCAAAGAGUAUUUUCACAAGUUCAAGGAGUUGACUACGAUGAGUUUUUCUCAUCCGUAGCGAUGCUUAGGUCCGUCGGAAUCAUGUUAGCAUUAGCUACAUUUAUGAAAUCUGGCAGAUGGAUGUCAAAACAAGUUUCCUUACCAGUUUUCGUAAGGAAAGGUUGUAUGUGAUACAAUCAGAAAGGUUUUGUCGAUCCUAAGGAUGCUAAAAGGUAUGCUAGCUCCAGCGAUCCUUCCAUGGAUUAGAGCAAGCAUCUCGGAGUCAGAAUAUACGCUUUGAUGGAGUGAUCAAAGUUUUUGGGUUUAUACAAAGUUUGUUAGAAUCUUGUAUUUACAAUAAAGUGAGUGGGAGCGCUACAACAUUUCUGAUAAGUAUAUGUGAAUGACAUAUUGUUGAUCCGAAAUGAUGUAAAAUUUCUGGAAAGCAUAAAGGGUUGUUUGAAAGGAGUUUUUCAAAGGAAGACCUGGAUAAAGCUACUUACAUAUUGGGCAUCAAGAUCCAUAGAGAUAGAUCAAGACGCCUGAUGAUACUUUCAAAAGACAGCACACCUUGACAUGAUUUUGAAAGAGUUCAAAAUAGAUCAGCAAAGAAGGAGUUCUUGGCGGUGUUACAAGGUGUGAGUAUUGAGUGAGACUCAAGACCUGACCACAGCAGAAGAUAGAGAAAGGACGAAGGUCGUCCCCUAUGCUUUAGACGUAGGCUCUAUAGUAUGCUAUGCUGUGUACCGCACAUGUAGUGUGCCUUGCCAUGAGUUGGUCAAGAGGGUACAAUGGUGAUCCGGGAAAGGAUCUCAUGACAGCGGUUGAACUUAUCCUUAGUACCUAGUGGAUUCAGGAAUUUUCUCGAUUAUGGAGGUGGAAAGGAGUUCGUCAUAAAGGGUUACGUCGAUGCGAACUUUGACACUAAUCCGGAUGACUCUGAGUAGUAAACCGGAUUCGUAUAGUAGAGCAAUUAUUUGAAAUGGCUCCAAAUAGCGCGUGGUAGCAUCCACAAAGAUGACAUAGAUAUUCGUAAAGCACACGGUUCUGAAAGGUUCAAACCCGUUGACUAAUAACCUCUCUCACAAGCAUAACAUGACCAAACCAGAACACAUUGAGUGAUAAUCACAUAGUGAUUUGGACUAGAUUGUUGACUCUAGUAAACUCUUUAGAUGUUGGUCACAUGGUGAUGUGACCAGUGAGUGUUAAUCACAUGGUGAUGUGAACUAGAUUAUUGACUCUAGUGCAAGUGGGAGACUGUUGGAAAUAUGCCCUAGAGGCAAUAAUAAAUUGGUUAUUAUUAUAUUUCCUUAUUCAUGAUAAUCGUUUAUUAUCCAUGCUAGAAUUGUAUUGAUAGGAAACUCAGAUACAUGUGUGGAUACAUAGACAACACCAUGUCCCUAGUAAGCCUCUAGUUGACUAGCUCGUUGAUCAAUAGAUGGUUAUGGUUUCCUGACCAUGGACAUUGGAUGUCGUUGAUAACGGGAUCACAUCAUUAGGAGAAUGAUGUGAUGGACAAGACCCAAUCCUAAGCAUAGCAUAAAAGAUCGUGUAGUUUCGUUUGCUAGAGCUUUUCCAAUGUCAAGUAUCUUUUCCUUAGACCAUGAGAUCGUGCAACUCCCGGAUACCGUAGGAGUGCUUUGGGUGUGCCAAACGUCACAACGUAACUGGGUGACUAUAAAGGUGCACUACGGGUCUCCGAAAGUGUCUGUUGGGUUGGCACGGAUCGAGACUGGGAUUUGUCACUCUGUGUGACGGAGAGGUAUCUCUGGGCCCACUCGGUAAUGCAUCAUCAUAAUGAGCUCAAUGUGACUAAGGCGUUAGUCACGGGAUCAUGCAUUGCGGUACGAGUAAAGAGACUUGCCGGUAACGAGAUUGAACAAGGUAUUGGGAUACCGACGAUCGAAUCUCGGGCAAGUAACAUACCGUUUGACAAAGGGAAUUGCAUACGGAUUGAUUGAAUCCUCGACACCGUGGUUCAUCCGAUGAGAUCAUCGUGGAACAUGUGGGAGCCAACAUGGGUAUCCAGAUCCCGCUGUUGGUUAUUGACCGGAGAGGCGUCUCGGUCAUGUCUGCAUGUCUCCCGAACCCGUAGGGUCUACACACUUAAGGUUCGGUGACGCUAGGGUUAUAGAGAUAUAUGUAUGCGGAAACCCGAAAGUUGUUCGGAGUCCCGGAUGAGAUCCCGGACGUCACGAGAGGUACCGGAAUGGUCCGGAGGUGAAGAAUUAUAUAUAGGAAGUCCAGUUUCGGCCACCGGGAAAGUUUCGGGGGUUACCGGUAUUGUACCGGGACCACCGGAAGGGUCCCGGGGGUCCACCGGGUGGGGCCACCUAUCCCGGAGGGCCCCGUGGGCUGAAAGUGGAAGGGAACCAGCCCCUAGUGGGCUGGGCGCCCCCCCAUGGGCCUCCCCCCAUGCGCCUAGGUUUGGGAACCCUAGGGUGGGGGGACUUCCCCCUUGCCUUGGGGGGCAAGCAACCCCUUGCCACCCCUUGGCCGCCGCCCCCCAACCCUAGAUGGGUUUGGGCCGGCCCCCCCUCCCAAGGGGUCCUAUAUAAAGGGGGAGGGAGGGCAGCAACAUACAGCCUUGGGCGCCUCCCUCCUCCCCGGCAACACCUCUCUCUCUCUCGCAGAAGCUUGGCGAAGCCCUGCCGGAGACCCGCUACAUCCACCACCACGCCGUCGUGCUGCUGGAUCUCCAUCAACCUCUCCUUCCCCCUUGCUGGAUCAAGAAGGAGGAGACGUCGCUGCACCGUACGUGUGUUGAAUGCGGAGGUGCCGUCCGUUCGGCACUCGGUCAUCGGUGAUUUGGAUCACGGCGAGUACGACUCCGUCAUCCACGUUCAUUGGAACGCUUCCGCUCGCGAUCUACAAGGGUAUGUAGAUGCACUCCUUUCCCCUCGUUGCUAGUAGACUCCAUAGAUGCAUCUUGGUGAGCGUAGGAAAAUUUUAAAUUAUGCUACGAUUCCCAACAACCCCACCCCUGGCCUGCAUGUCUUGCAUGAAAACUUCUCGGAAUCAGAAAUAAAAACAGCAUUCUUUAAAAUGAACCCGCAGGCCAGUCCUGGCCCAGAUGGUUUUGGGCCUGCGUUCUACCGAACAUACUGGCCCACCAUUAAAAGCUUCAUCCUCCCUUUCUUCUCACAAUUCUGUCAAGGCACGGCCGACACGGAAAGAUUAAACAGAGCUCACAUUGUUCUCCUCCCCAAAAAAGAUCAGCCUACUUCUCCAAACGCUUUCCGGCCCAUCUCGCUCCAAAAUUGCCCAAUCAAAGCUGUUGCCAAAGUCUUGACCACUCGCCUCAAGCCCUUCAUCCAGUUACUAGUGCAUGGCAAUCAGGCAGGGUUUAUACCAGGGAGGGAUAUAGCUGAGAAUUACAUAUUCGCCGCCGACCUCAUUAGCUCAUGCCACACUAGGAAAAAAACCUACUAUGGUUUUCAAACUAGACUUCAGGAAAGCUUUCGACUCGGUCGCUUGGCCUGCUCUGGACAAAAUCCUCCUCGCCCGGGGCUUCUCACACACCUUCCACAGCUGGAUCCAGAAUAUCCUAGUGACAGGCAAAACCGCCAUUCUUUUGAAUGGCAUCCCAGGCAACUGGAUAGACUGCAAAAAUGGCCUACGGCAGGGCGACCCCAUCUCCCCCUAUCUCUUCCUGAUCGUAGCAGACCUGCUCCAACAGCUUAUCUUCAAAAACACACACGCCUCGCUCCACCACCCCAUCUUCUCUCAUCUUCCACGCACCGUCCUCCAGUACGCAGACGAUACUCUGAUCGUUGUCGCCGCCUCGACUGAUGCCGCUGCCGCUCUAAAAGAAAUUCUAGCCAACUUCGCCAACGCCACUGGGUUAGCCAUAAACUUCUCCAAAACUACGAUCACAACCCUACACAUAGACGAUGUUGCUGCUAACGACACCGCCCUUGCCAUGGGCUGCUCUCGCACCUCCUUCCCCCAAACCUAUCUUGGCCUCCCUCUCUCCCCUACUAAACCUCCUUCCACUGUAUUCGACCCCAUCCUAGAACGCUCUCACAAGCUGUUGGCUGGCUGGCGAGCCAAGCUGCUUGACAAAGGCGACCGCCUCAUUCUUAUCUCCGCAGUCCUCAACUCCCUCCUCACCUACUUCAUGUCAGUCUUUCGUCUCCCCAAAAAAGUUUUAAAAACCAUCGACUCCAUUCGUAGAGCCUUCUUCUGGGAAGGUGAAGAUUCAGUUUCAUGUGCUCAAUGCCUUAUUGCAUGGAAAAACGUUUGCACUCCAAAAAAAUAUGGUGGUUUAGGUCUCAAAAACUUGCAUCUUCAGAAUAAUUGUCUGCUCAUGAAAUUUGCAGCCAAGGCACUCACCUCCUCCUCCACCCCCUGGAUGGACUGGUUGGAUCUUCAACACCCAAAUGCUUUAGUUUCACCCCCACCCCAAACCUCCUUCCUCUGUCGUGCCAUAGCACAGCAAAUACCAACACUCCAGUCCAUCACCUUCGUCCUAACAAACAGUGGGACACACACCUACUUUUGGCACGACACUUGGCUCACAUCAACAACUCCAGCUCACACUUACCCUCACCUAUUCUCACAUUCCACUCUUCCGCUGAUUAAGGUGGCUAAUGUGCUGCGCUAUGGUCUAGAAGCUAACCUCCGUAACCGUCUCUCCCUACUGGCAGAGCAAGAGCUUGUUGCGUUGUUGGCUGUUUUGCAGGAUUUCGUCCCUUCGGCUGAGGAAGACCAAAGGUUCCUAAUUCAGGGUCUUGCCUUCUCCACCAAGCAAGCGUACGACACUCUCAUGGCACGCCCGGACUGCGAUCCUCUCGCCCCCAUCAUUUGGCACUCCAAGGUUACACGCAAGAUUAAAAUCUUCACCUGGCUUCUCUUCAAGGAUCGGCUCAACACCGGAGCCAAUCUUGCACACAAGCAUAUCAUAUCCACGGACGUUUGUCCUCGCUGCACUAUGCUACCAGAGGACUCCUUGCAUCUCUUCCUCACCUACCCCCUUGCCAACCGUGUCUGGCAACGGCUAGGCAUCCUACCUCAAGCGGAGGGCAUCAUCGACCUUUGGGACGCGUCGAUUCCUCACAAACUGCCACACAAGGCCUGGCCUUUUAUUCUCAUGUCUCUCCUCUGGAAGAUAUGGGUUGCAAGAAAUGAUAUGGUGUUUAGGAACAUUGAUCAACGUUCUGUAAUAACUGUGACGCCCCCGAUUCAAUCGUGCACAAAUCAUACACGCAAACGUGUACGAUCAAGAUCAGGGACUCACGGGAAGAUAUCACAACACAACUCUAAAAAUAAAAUAAGUCAUACAAGCAUCAUAAUACAAGCCAGGGGCCUCGAGGGCUCGAAUACAAGUGCUCGAUCAUAGACGAGUCAGCGGAAGCAACAAUAUCUGAGUACAGACAUAAGUUAAACAAGUUUGCCUUAAGAAGGCUAGCACAAACUGGGAUAUAGAUCGAAAGAGGCGUAGGCCUCCUGCCUGGGAUCCUCCUAAACUACUCCUGGUCGUCGUCAGCGGCCUGCACGUAGUAGUAGGCACCUCUAGUGUAGUACGAGUCAUCGUCGACGGUGGCGUCUGGCUCCUGGGCUCCAGCAUCUGGUUGCGACAACCAGGAAGAAACAAUAGGGGGAAAGGGGGGAGCAAAGCAACCGUGAGUACUCAUCCAAAGUACUCGCAAGCAAGGAUAUACACUACAUAUGCAUGGGUAUAUGUGUAAAGGGGCCAUAUCGAUGGACUGAACUGCAGAAUGCCAGAAUAAGAGGGGGAUAGCUAAUCCUGUCGAAGACUACGCUUCUGGCAGCCUCCAUCUUGCAGCAUGUAGAAGAGAGUAGGUGGUAAGUUCACCAAGUAUCAUCGCAUAGCAUAAUCCUACCCGACAAUCCUCUCCUCGUCGACCUGUGAGAGAGCGAUCACUGGGUUGUAUCUGGCACUUGGAAGGGUGUGUUUUAUUAAGUAUCCGGUUCUAGUUGUCAUAAGGUCAAGGUACAACUCCGGGUCGUCCUUUUAUCGAGGGACACGGCUAUUCGAAUAGAUAAACUUCCCUGCAGGGGUGCACCACAUUACCCAACACGCUCGAUCCCCUUUGGCCGGACACACUUUCCUGGGUCAUGCCCGGCCUCGGAAGAUCAACACAUCGCAGCCCCACCUAGGCACAACAGAGAGGUCAGCACGCCGGUCUAAAUCCUAUGCACGCAGGGGUCUGGGCCCAUCGCCCAUUGCACACCUGCAUGUUGCGAACGCGGCCGGAAGCAAACCUAGCCCCCUUAAUACAAGCGCAGGCUUACGGUCUAAUCCGGCGCGCGCCGCUCAGUCGCUGACGUCAAGAAGGCUUCGGCUGAUACCAUGACGUCGAGUGCCCAUAAUUGUUCCUACGUAGUUGGUUAGUGCGUAUAGGCCAGUGGCCAGACUCGGAUCAAAUACCAAGAUAUCAUUAAGCGUGUUAUUUUGAAGUAACCGCGAACGCCGACAGGGCCAGGCCCACCUCUCACCUAGGUAGUCUCAACCUGCCCUGUCGCUCCGCCACAAAGAUCCACCCAGAGGGCCGUCGGGACAAAGGUCCUUUCAGCCCCCAAUCCGUGAAUCACUCGCGGGUACUCUACGAGCCGACCCGACUUUAGUCACCACAUGUAUCAUGUAUAAAGUAUAUAGUAUAUACCCGUGAUCACCUCCCGAGUGAUCACGGCCCGAUAGUAUAGCACAGCAGACGGACAAGAAUGUAGGGCCAAUGAUGGAAUACUAGCAUCCUAUACUAAGCAUUUAGGAUUGCAGGUAAAGGUAACAACAGUAGUAGCAAGGGCAGGCUAUGCAUCAGGAUAGGAUAAACGGAAAGCAGUAACAUGCUACACUACUCUAAUGCAAGCAGUAGAGAGAAGAAUAGGCGAUGUCUGGUGAUCAGGGGGGCUUGCCUGCAAGCCCAGCCGAGAAGGAGGGGUCAUUAACACCGUAGUCGUACUGGGUAGCAGCGGCGUCGGGGCGGCCUUGGUCGAUCCGACCACGGAGCUAGACGGUGGGGAUGAGGAGGCAACGGCGACGUGGCUUCAUUAGCAGAGUUUCACUGUAGCUUAAUUAUCCGGGCGUUACAAAUCUCCUCCACUACAAGAAAUCCCGUCCCGAGAUUUAGGAGGUAGAAGGAAACAGCGCGGGGUCCUCGUGUUCCCAAGUGGCUUCAUCUUCAGAAUGGUGCGACCACUGGACCUUGAGGAACUUGAUCGCCUUCUGACGUGUUCGGCGUUCAGCUUGGUCGAGAAUGCGGACUGGAUGCUCUUUAUAGGAGAGGACCUAUUGCAAUUCGAGCACUUCACGAUCCACUGCUCGGAUUGGGUCCUUGAAGCAAUGGCGGAGCUGUGACACGUGGAACACAUCGUGAACCUGAGAAAGGUUCGACGGAAGCUCCAGUUGAUAUGCCACUUUUCCACGCCUUUCCAGAAUAGUGAAUGGACCAAUAUAGCGAGGAGCUAGCUUGCCCUUGAUUCCAAAGCGGUGAGCACCCUUCAUUGGUGUGACUCUAAGAUAAGCCUUUUCGCCAGGUUGAUAGACCAUGUCUUUAUGAUGACGGUCAUACUGACUCUUCUGACGCGACUGAGCAGUCUUGAGAUUCUCGCGAAUAAUGCAGACUUGUUCUUCAGCAUGUUGGAUAAUAUCCGGACCGAAGAGUGGACGUUCCCCAGUUUCUGACCAGUUCAGAGGGGUUCGGCACUUUCGUCCAUAUAAUACUUUGAAGGGGGCCAUCUUCAGACUAGCUUGAUAGCUAUUGUUAUAGGAGAACUCAGCAUACAGGAGAGAUUCCUCCCAUUUCUUGCCGAAGGAAAUAACACAAGCUCGAAGCAUGUCUUCGAGAACUUGGUUGACGCGUUCAACUUGCCCUUGCAACUGAGGAUGAAACGCAGUACUGAACGACAGAUGAGUUCCCAUAGCUUCUUGGAAACUUGCCCAGAAUCUUGAAGUGAACAAGCUACCACGGUCCAAACUGAUAACUAGUGGAAUACCGUGAAGUGAAACAAUUCUGGACAUGUAGAGAGUUGCAAGCUGACUAGCAGUGAUCGUUUCUUUGACAGCCAGAAAAUGGGCAACUUUAGAAAGCCGGUCAAUGAUGACAAGAAUAACAUCAUUACCUUUCUGCGAUUUGGGAAAUCCAGUGACGAAGUCCAUCUCGACAUGGUCCCAUUUCCAUUCAGGAAUAGAGAUAGGUUGCAGAGUUCCAGCAGGCCUUUGAUGUUCUGCUUUGAUACGACGGCAAACCUCACACUCGGCAACAUAACGAGCAAUGUCUUGCUUCAUAUUAGACCACCAGCAUCUAUGAGGAAUGUCUUGGUACAUCUUGGUGCUACCGGGAUGAAUAGACAAAGGCGUAUCAUGAGCUUCUUUCAUAACCUCCUGUGUCAUAUCUAGGUUUUCCUCUAAACAUGGCACCACUAGGCGGACCUUUAAGUACAAGGUGCCAUCAUCAGCAAUAGUGAAGAAUGAGGGCUUUCCUUCUGCGAGGUAGCGCUUAAUCUUGUGGGCUUGAGAGUCAUACUUCUGCAGCGUUUUGAUGCUGUCCACGAGAUCUGGUUUAGCAACCAGGGUAUUGAGAGAACCCUAGGUAACAACAUGGAGGUUCAUCUUACGACACUCAGGAGGAGGGGGAGCGAGUGCACUAGGAGGAACAAUAUGGAGGUUCAGCUUUCUGAAUUCUUCAACAAGCGAGGGAUGAACUUUGUGAACCUGGAGGUGGUUGCAGUAAGACUUGCGGCUCAAGGCAUCAGCCAUUACAUUAGCCUUGCCUGGUGUAUAGGAAAUACCCAAGUCAAAGUCUGCAACAAUAUCCAUCCAUCUCUGCUGACGGAGGUUCAGGUCUGGCUGAGUAAACAAAUACUUCAGACUUUGGUGGUCGGUGAAGAUCUCGCAACGAUUACUGAGAAGGUAAUGUCGCCACUGUUUUAGCGCAUGAAUGACAGCAGCAAGCUCGAGGUUGUGAACUGGGUAGUUCUCUUCGUGAGGGCGCAAUUGCCGAGAGGCAUAAGCAAUCACUUUGUGCUCUUGCAUUAGGACACAGCCUAAUCCUUGACGAGAAGCGUCGCAGUAAAUGACGAAGUCCUUCUUAGUAUCAGGUGGAGCAAGCACUGGGGCAGAACUCAACUUGUCUUUGAGUGCCUGGAAACUUUCCUGACAAUUGUCUGUCCAUUGGAACUUGACACCCUUAUGCAAUAGGUUAGUCAGAGGCCUAGCGAUCUUGGAGAAGUUCUUGACGAAUCGACGGCAAUAGCUGGCGAGUCCGAGAAAACUUCUGACUUGCUUGACAUUCUUCGGAGGAGUCCAAUCGAGAAUAGCCUGAAAUUGCUCGGGGUUGACGGCAAUACCAUCCUUGGAGAUGACAUGCCCAAGAUAGGUUACUUCGGGAAGCCAGAAUUCACACUUGGAGAACUUGGCAUAUAGCCGAUGCUCUCGUAGAUUUUCCAGCACAAGACGAAGAUGUUCAGCAUGUUCCUCUUUGUUCUUGGAAAAUACCAGGAUAUCAUCCAGAUAAACCACGACGAACUUGUCAAGGUAUUCCAUGAAUAUAUAGUUCAUCAGACGAGAGAAGGUGGCUAGAGCAUUGGUCAAGCCGAAUGACAUGACGGUGUACUCGUAUGAACCAUAUCGAGUCACGAAGGCGGUCUUUGGGAUAUCCUCUUCACGAACACGGAUCUGGUGGUAACCCAACCUCAAGUCGAGUUUAGAGAACACUGAUGGACCAGCCAGUUGAUCAUACAGAUCAUUGAUCCGAGGAAGAGGAUAUUUAUUCUGAAUGGUAGCUUGGUUUAUAGGACGGUAGUCUUGGACUAAUCGGUUUGUCCCAUCCUUCUUCUUGACAAAGAGAGAAGGUGCUCCCCAAGGAGAGCAACUUGGGCGAAUGAAACCUUUGCGAAGAGAUUUUUCGAUUUCCUCCUUAAGCUCAAUGAGUUCAUGCGGCGGCAUCUUGUAGGGUCGUUUGGCUAUAGGAGUGGUGCCUGGUUUCAAGUCAAUGAUGAAUUCGACAGCUCUAGCAGGGGGAAUCCCUGGAAGUUCUUCAGGAAAGACGUCCUGGUAUUCGCGAACGACAGGAAUGUUUUCAAUGCCCUCGAGUGGUGCAGCGUUCAAUGCAUUCAACGCAUAAAGCCUUGCCUCGUCAUUCUGAACCAAACGAGCAUUGUAGCUUAUUAUUUCAUCGGAAGGGUGUAGCAGAUAGACGGUCAUAGUGGCGCAAACUAUAGAAGCAGUAUGCGCUUUCAACCAAUCCAUUCCCAGAAUGAGAUCAAUGCUACAGUACUUCAGUAUGAUGGGAGAGACAAGGAAUUCCAGUCCUUCGAUUUCAAUGAGAACGUCGUGACUAACCAUAGAGGUUUGACAUUGGCCCGCAGGGGUGUGUACCACUAGCGGAGUGUUCAUCUCUUCGUAUUUAAUGCCAUGCAUGAAUGCAAAUUCUGCUGAUAUGAAUGAAUGUGAUGCUCCUAUAUCAAAUAAAACAGAUGCAGGUACUAAAUUAACGAGGAGUGUACCCAUCACAGUAGCAGGCUGGUCUUGAGCUUCGUUGAGAUCAACGUGGUUGGCAUGAACACGACCAUAAGACUUGGCAUUGUUGUUGCGGGGCUAGUUGUUUCCACGGCCAGCUGCGGGAAGGGCCAGUUGAUUCUGAUUCUGAUAGCAGCUCCUGGCAAGGUGACCUGGUUGACCACACUUGUAGCACAAACCAUUAUUGGGAGUGGGAACAGGAUCUUGGGGUGGUGGAGCUGGAAGUCUUGGCUGCCUAGAUGGUGGGGGAGGCAGACGCGGUGCAGCAUAAGACUGCUUUGGAGCAGGUGCAUUUGGACGGUACAUGUUGUUCGGGAUCCACAUCUUACGCUUCUGCGAGGGCGGGCCCGAAGAUGAGCCCGUGUCACGGUUGCGCCUGUGAGAGCUCUGGUGUUCCUGCAGACCAGUCUCGACAUUGAUGGCCUUGUUCACCAAGGUGGCGAAAUCGGCAAAGUCAUGCACUAGUAGUGCGAGCUUGAUGUCAGCUUGUAGUCCAUCAUGGAACUUCUCCUGUUUGCGAGCAUCAGUUGCAAUGUCCUCUUCAGCAUAGCAGGACAAGUCUAGAAAUUCCCGCUGAUAAGCUUCGACAGUUUUGUUGCCCUGGGUGAGGUUGCGGAACUCACGCUUCUUCCGGUCCAUGACUCCCUGAGGAAUGAACCGGGCACGGAAAGCGGCUUGGAAAUCUGGCUAGGUGAUGAUUGUUCCAACCGGUAGAGUACGCAUGUGGCUAUCCCACCAUUGGGCAGCGGGUCCCUUUAGAAAGAAGGAAGCAAAGGUGACAUAGCGGGCAGGGGCUACAUCAGCAGACUCCAUCUCAUAGGUGAUGUCACGGAGCCAGUCAUCAGCAUCCAGAGGCUGAGUUGAGCUACGGUAGACGGUUGGGUUGAGGUGCAUGAAAUCCUGCAGAGUCACUUGGGCUGGCUGCUGGUUCAUAUUGGGGCGAGGGAACUGAGCCAUCAUAUUCUCCAUGAACUGGCGAUUCAUCUCAAGUUGUUGGAUCAUACCAGCCAUGUACUUAGGCGGUGGUGGGGCGUUGCCACCAUGACCACAACCACCUAGUCUAACCAUCCCGCUAAUAUAUAACAGGGGUAGUUCAGCAUUGGGAAAUUUGCAAAGACAAGAAUCAUUCAUGAUGAAACAUGCAUAAUAAAGGAGCACGGUAGAUACUACAUAGUAGUCGGCAUAUCUUAAAAAAGGGAUCAUGCAUAGAGUUCGGUACACAGAGUUCAGUACAUAGACUAAAGACAUCAUAGGCGGCACGCAGGCUCGCAACGAAGGCACCUAAUACUAAUUAGCAAGUCCACAUCAGUACCAGGAGGAACUGUGGAGGUAGGUGUAGCCUGACAGCUGGUAGUGACGUGACGGGAAGUCCUCCACGUCAGUAGCCUGGGGUCCGCGGAUACUCUGGUGCAGAACCCGACGCUCAGGUGGCAGAAGAGGACCAAGUGCGGGAGAGUAGCCCCCCACAUCUGGCCAGCCGACACCUUGGGGCAUCACGGUCCUGGCUGGGUAGAUCGCAGAACGCGGCAGAUCAUCAAAUCGGACAAGGGGGUGCAACCGCAUCAGAGCACGGUAAAGGUGCUGACGGGUGGUGUACAACUCGUGGUGAAGAGCUCGGUUAGCUCGAUCCAGCCCAUCAGCAUGCAGAACCAAGUUCUGAUGGUAGAAGGGCUCUCGGGUGACCGUGGAGUAGGCAGCAGUGUAGUAUCCCUCCGCACCAACAUCGGAUGCGAUAGCAAUGUGCCUGAAAGGGGAAGUGUCCAACGCCCAAUACUCUCCACGAAGACGUGUCAGAGCAGCACAAGCAGCAUCGUGGACUGCCAUAUCGAUGGUCACUCCAACACCUUGAGCAGUGUGCAGCACAGUAGUGGAGUCAUACUCCCGAGAGUAGAGGUGGACGAUGGCACGGUACUGCUCCUGGUUAAAGUCCUGGUACUCCUCGUAGACGGUGUACUCAGGGUGCCAGCCAUAACCUAGAUAGGUCAUCAUCUCAGCUAGCACAGCAGGUGAUCCUGAGGCACCAAUGGCCGUCGUGUGGUGCACGACCUGCCUCAUGGGUUCCAUCUGAAAGCAAAGAUGUUUCAAAGGAGUCAAAUGACAGUGUGGGUAUUGUUCAAAAUACUAUUCUAAGGAAUAACUAUGGCUUAUCCAACUUUGGGGUGAAUGUGGUCACGAGAUCCUAAUGUUAGAGUUAGUAAAUUCGUUUAACCCGAGUAGAAGAGAGUUCAGAGUCCCGGAGUAAAGAUCGAGGAGUAAAAGAUCCUAGUACCACCCAAAUGGCGACGUGGGCCCGUAUGACACACAGCCAUGUUAGUAAAAGUUUUGUAAUUGCUAGACUCGACUUCGGCCAAGGAGUGUGGAAGGGGAUUCCUACAGGCAGUCGGCUCUGAUACCAACUUGUGACGCCCCCGAUUCAAUCUUACAGUAAUCAUACACGCAAACGUGUAUGAUCAAGAUCAUGGACUCACGGGUAGAUAUCACAACACAACUCUAAAAAUAAAAUAAGUCAUACAAGCAUCAUAAUACAAGCCAGGGGCCUCGAGGGCUCGAAUACAAGUGCUCGAUCAUAGACGAGUCAGCGAAAGCAACAAUAUCUGAGUACAGACAUAAGUUAAACAAGUUUGCCUUAAGAAGGCUAGCACAAACUGGGAUACAGAUCGAAAGAGGCGCAGGCCUCCUGCCUGGGAUCCUCCUAAACUACUCCUGGUCGUCGUCAGCGGCCUGCACGUAGUAGUAGGCACCUCCAGUGUAGUAGGAGUCAUCGUUGACGGUGGCAUCUGGCUCCUGGGCUCCAGCAUCUGGUUGCGACAACCAGGAAGAAAGAAAAGGGGGGAAAGGGGGAGCAAAGCAACCGUGAGUACUCAUCCAAAGUACUCGCAAGCAAGGAUCUACACUACAUAUGCAUGGGUAUAUGUGUAAAGGGGCCAUAUCGGUGGACUGGACUGCAGAAUGCCAGAAUAAGAGGGGGAUAGCUAAUCAUGUCGAAGACUACGCUUCUGGCAGCCUCCAUCUUGCAGCAUGUAGAAGAGAGUAGAUGGUAAGUUCACCAAGUAUCAUCGCAUAGCAUAAUCCUACCCGACAAUCCUCUCCUCGUCGACCUGUGAGAGAGCGAUCACCGGGUUGUAUCUGGCACUUGGAAGGGUGUGUUUUAUUAAGUAUCCCAUUCUCGUUGUCAUAAGGUCAAGGUACAACUCCGAGUCAUCCUUUUACCGAGGGACACGGCUAUUCGAAUAGAUAAACUUCCCUGCAGGGGUGCACCACAUUACCCAACACGCUCGAUCCCCUUUGGCCGGACACACUUUCCUGGGUCAUGCCCGGCCUCGGAGGAUCAACACGUCGCAGCCCCACCUAGGCACAACAGAGAGGUCAGCACGCCGGUCUAAAUCCUAUGCGCGCAGGGGUCUCGGCCCAUCGCCCAUUGCACACCUGCACGUUGCGAACGCGGCCGGAAGCAGACCUAGCCCCCUUAAUACAAGCGCAGGCUUACAGUCCAAUCCGGCGCGCGCCGCUCAGUCGCUGACGUCAAGAAGGCUUCGGCUGAUACCACGACGUCGAGUGCCCAUAACUGUUCCCGUGUAGUUGGUUAGUGCGUAUAGGCCAGUGGCCAGACUCAGAUCAAAUACCAAGAUCUCGUUAAGCGUGUUAUUUUGAAGUAACCGCGAACGCCGACAGGGCCAGGCCCACCUCUCACCUAGGUAGUCUCAACCUGCCCUGUCGCUCCGCCACAAAGAUCCACCCAGAGGGCCGUCGGGACAAAGGUCCUUUCAGCCCCCAAUCCGUGAAUCACUCGCGGGUACUCUACGAACCGACCCGACUUUAGUCACCACAUAUAUCAUGUAUAAAGUAUAUAGUAUAUACUCGUGAUCACCUCCCGAGUGAUCACGGCCCGAUAGUAUAGCACAGCAGACGGACAAGAAUGUAGGGCCGAUGAUGGAAUACUAGCAUCCUAUACUAAGCAUUUAGGAUUGCAGGUAAAAGUAACAAUAGUAGUAGCAAGGGCAGGCUAUGCAUCACGAUAGGAUAAAUGGAAAGCAGUAACAUGCUACACUACUCUAAUGCAAGUAGUAGAGAGAAGAAUAGGCGAUAUCUGGUGAUCAGGGGGGGCUUGCCUGGAAGCUCAGCCGAGAAGGAGGGGUCGUCAACACCUUAGUCGUACUGGGUAGCAGCGGCGUUGGGGCGGCCUUGGUCGAUCCGGCCACGGAGCUAGACGGCGGGGAUGAGGAGGCAAUGGCGACGUGGCUUCAUUAGCAGAGUUUCACUGUAGCUUAAUUAUCCGGGCGUUACAAUAACCCUAAGAGCCCUCAUCUCCGACCUAGACCUUUGGUCACAUCGUCUCAUGGAAACAUGCGGCAAGGAGGACGUCUCCUCGUGGCGUUCUGUAACACCCCGCAUGUAACUUGCCAUAUUUGUAACUCCGACUCUUGCCAUUUCCGGCUAUGUGUUAUGAUUUUCCCUCCGUUGUCGGGUUUUGUCUUUUGUUUUGUAUUUUGUCAUGUCAUGCAUUUUCAUAUCAUGUCAUCAUGUGCAUUGCAUUUGCAUACGUGUUCGUCUCAUGCAUCCGAGCAUUUUCCCCGUUGUCCGUUUUGCAAUCCGGCGCUCCUAUCUCCUCCGGUGCACCCCUUUCGUUUUCUUUCGUGUGCGGGUGUCAAACUUUCUCGGAAUGGACCGAGGCCUUUCAAGUGGCCUCAAUAUACCACCCGGAGACCACCGGUCAAGUUUCGUUCCAUUUGGAGGUCGUUUGGUACUCCAACGGUUAACCGGGUAUCUGCAAAGUCCAUUUGAGUGUCCAGCAAAAAACCCCUCAAAAACCAGCCCAAACCCACCAAACUCUCUUCCAUACUCUAGGUCGUUCGAUCACGAUCGUGUGGGCGAAAACCGCACCUCAUUUGGAGCCUCCUAGCUUCCUCUACCUAUAAAUAUGUGAGACUCCCGAAAUACAAUCGCAGUCCAAACCCUACCCUUCUUCCACCUCGCGCCCGGACAAAAAUCCUCCGCCGCCGGACGUGUCCGCGCCGCCACCUGUCCCUGCCGCCGUCGUUCCCACAGCGAGCCCAUAUCCGGCCCGCGGGGCCCGAAUCCCNNNNNNNNNNNNNNNNNNNNNNNNNNNNNNNNNNNNNNNNNNNNNNNNNNNNNNNNNNNNNNNNNNNNNNNNNNNNNNNNNNNNNNNNNNNNNNNNNNNNNNNNNNNNNNNNNNNNNNNNNNNNNNNNNNNNNNNNNNNNNNNNNNNNNNNNNNNNNNNNNNNNNNNNNNNNNNNNNNNNNNNNNNNNNGGUCGCCGGCGCCGCCCCCGCCGCCGCCGCCGUCGCACCUCUUCCCCGCGCCGGCGUCCUCUCCCUCCGGCCACCCGCCUCCUUUCUCUCUCCCGUCGCCGGCCCGAGCUCCUCGAGCUCCUGUGUUGCUCCCGAUCCAGAUCCGCACUGUAGAGGUUGACUCCCGUAUCCCUUUUUUUCUGUCUGGAAUUUUUACAGCAAUAUGCCUCUGUUCGUGAUGCCAUAACUCCUUGCAUGUAGCUCCGAUUCGUGCGUGUAAUCUGUAAAAUUGUUCGUCUCGUGAUGCUCUUCAUUUUGUUCAAUUGCACCAUGUUCAUUAGAGGUCAUCUUGAUGCCCAAAUCUCUGUUGGAAGAGGGCUAGUUGCUGUUAUUCUCUGGUUCUUAUCAGAACUUGGAGAUUUGUCAUUUUUGUAUCAUUAAAUCUGUGCAUCUUUUGGGCAUGAUCUCUACAUGUGUUUUGAAGCAUGCCAUGCCAUCUUUCCAGUGGUGUAGUCCAUGUAUUUUUUUGAUCUCUGUGGUGACUAGCACAAGCAUGCAAAGUAGGCCCCGUAAUAUUUCCGAUUUCAGGGACUUGGUGAUUUCUCCAAGUCCUUGUCUGCUGUUAUUUUGUUGCCAUGAAAACUUGAUGCUACAGACAGAUCCAUGCAUAUUUUGGAGAUGUUCAGUAAGUAUGUUUUGUAGAUAUAGUUGUAAUUGAUCCAUUCCUGCAAUUGCUUGCAAUUAUGGAGGGCCAUAGCAUGACUCAAUCUUGCUCUACUUUUGCUAUAAAAUAUUUCUGGCAGAUUCUUAACAUGAUAUGCAAUUUUGCCAAGCUUAUUGUAGUUGAUCCUUACAUGCUAUGCUUUUGUUCUUGCCAUGGUUAGCUUCAUCAACAUGCCAUAUUUAUGUAGGUGUGCUUGGUUUGUAGUGCAUUGCUCUGUAGUGAGUGCAUCAAGCUCACAAAGAGGCCUACAUAUUAUUAUUUCUGCCAUGCUCUGUUUUCUGCUAAGUCUGAAACCUGAUAACGAAACUUGCUAUGUUUACAUGCUUGCCAUCAUAUCUUAUGGUCCUUUUUGGUUAAUGGUCAGUAAGAGACUUUUGUCAUGUGCAUUUAGUAGAACACUACCAUUCCUUGUUUUGCUAUAAUAAGUUCCUGUAGCAUGUUGAUUUCGUGCUCUAUAACAUUGCUACCUGAUGCUGUUUUUCUGCCAUGUCCAGUUUUUCACCAAGUCUGUGAACCUGUUAUCUUUUGCACGUUUGCCAUGCUUGUUUGAGCUUGAUAUGUUGUGAACUAUCCGUAGCUCAGUGUUCAUCUUUUGUCAAGCAUCUCCUGUAGAUUACUUCCAUGUGCUUUGUUGCUAUGUUGGAGUGUUGUAGCAUUGUUACUUGUUGCAUUUUAAGUGCUAUCUUGCUGUUAAUCGCAGAUUCGUGUCAUUCUUGUUUUGCUUGCCAUUUGCAAACCGUGCAUCCGAUUCCGGUGAUCUUUAUAUCGAUUUCGACCGAAAUCAUCCCAUCUUUCCAUUGGCAUGCUUGGUUUGCCAAGUUACUGCCAUGUUCAUCAUUUUUCCGUCCGGAGCACGCAUAUGCAUCGCAUAUCAUAUCUUGCAUAUCAUACAUGUUUUGCAUCAUGUUGAUUGUGCAUUUCUCGUGAUUGAUUGUGGUUCCGUUUGCUUGUGUUCUUGCCUUGGGUAGAUCCGGGAGACGAGUUCGUGAACGAGGAACCUGUUGAGUACGCUUACGAGGAUCAAGCUUUCGACAACUCUGAGAACCUUGCAGGCAAGAUGACCACCCCUCGAAAUCACUUCUAUCUUUGCUUUGCUAGUUGUUCGCUCUUUUGCCAUGCUCCGCUACCUAUCACAUGCUAUAUCAUGUCUCCCAUUUUUCCAUGUCAGCCUCUAACCAUCAUUUCCUAGCAAACCGUUGUUUGGCUAAGUCACCGCUUUUGCUCAGCCCCUCUUAUAGCGUUACUAGUUGCAGGUGAAGUUGAAGUUUGUUCCAUGUUGGAACAUGGAUAUGUUGGGAUAUCACAAUAUCUCUUAUUUAAUUAAUGUAUCUAUAUAUUUGGUAAAGGGUGGAAGGCUCGGCCUUAUGCCUGGUGUUUUGUUCCACUCUUGCCGCCCUAGUUACUGAUAUACCGGGAUUAUGUUCCUUGAGUUUGCGUUCCUUACACGGUCGGGUGAUUUAUGGGACCCCCUUGACAGUUCACCUUGAAUAAAACUCCUCCAGCAAGGCCCAACCUUGGUUUUACCAUUUGCGACCUAUGCCUUUUUCCCCCGGGUUUUCUAGAGCCCGAGGGUCAUCUUUAUUUUAAACCCCCGGGCCAGUGCUCCUCUGAGUAUUGGUCCAAACUGUCAGUCGCCGGUGGCCACCAGGGGCAACUCUGGGCUGGCCUAUCGGAAGCUUGGACAAUCCGGUGUGCCCUGAGAACGAGAUAUGUGCAGCUCCUAUCGGGAUUUGUCGGCACAUUCGGGCGGCUUUGCUGGUCUUGUUUUACCAUUGUCGAGAUGUCUUGUAAACCGGGAUUCCGAGACUGAUCGGGUCUUUCCGGGAGAAGGUUUAUCCUUCGUUGACCGUGAGAGCUUAUGAUGGGCUAAGUUGGGACACCCCUGCAGGGUAUUAUCUUUCGAAAGUCGUGCCCGCGGUUAUGAGGCAGAUGGGAAUUUGUUAAUGUCCGGUUAUAGAGAACUUGUCACUUGACCCAAUUAAAAUACAUCAACUGCGUGUGUAGCCAUGAUGGUCUCUUCUCGGCGGAGUCCGGGAAGUGAACACGGUCUGAGUUAUGUUUGACGCAAGUAGGUGUUCAGGAUCACUUCUUGGUCAUUGCUAGAUGACGUUCGUUCCGUUGCUUCUCUUCUCGCUCUCAUUUGCGCAAGUUAGCCACCAUAUAUGCUUUUGCCGUUGCAGCUCCACCUCACUACACCAUCCUUUCCUACUAGCUUAAAUAGUCUUGAUCUCGCGGGUGUGAGAUUGCUGAGUCCCCGUGACUCACAGAUUCUACCAAAACAGUUGCAGGUGCCGACGAUGCCAGUGCAGAUGAUGGCGUCGAUCUCAAGUGGGAGUUCGACGAGGAACGUGGUCGUUACUAUGUGUCUUUUCCUGAUGAUCAGUAGUUGAGCCCAGUUGGGACGAUCGGGGAUCUAGCAUUUGGGGUUGUCUUAUUUUCAUUUGGAUUUUGACCGUAGUCGGUCUAUAUGUUUGUAUUUUGGAUGAUGUAUGAUUAAUAUUUAUGUAUUGUGUGAAGUGGCGAUUGUAAGCCAACUCUUUAUCCCAUUCUUGUUCAUUACAUGGGAUUGUGUGAAGAUGACCCUUCUUGCGACAAAACCACUAUGCGGUUAUGCCUCUAAGUCAUGCCUCGACACGUGGGAGAUAUAGCCGCAUCGUGGGCGUUACACGUUCCUACCUCUCUGCACGCUGCGUCGUGCCUUUGUAAUUCUGUACUUGCUGCCACGGCGGCUUUUNNNNNNNNNNNNNNNNNNNNNNNNNNNNNNNNNNNNNNNNNNNNNNNNNNNNNNNNNNNNNNNNNNNNNNNNNNNNNNNNNNNNNNNNNNNNNNNNNNNNNNNNNNNNNNNNNNNNNNNNNNNNNNNNNNNNNNNNNNNNNNNNNNNNNNNNNNNNNNNNNNNNNNNAAAAACGUCUAGAUACAUUCGUUUCAGCGACAACUAGUGUGGAUCGCAGGGAGUACCCAAUUAUAUAAAUUUUGCUAUAUGGCCAUUGAAUGAUCACUAGGAUUUCAAGUUGUCCAGUGCAAUUUGCUCUCAACAAGCUGGAUAUAUAAGAGGCUAAGAAUCUGGAUCUUCAUUCAUCGCACACCCCUGUAAUACCAAUUAGAUGAUGAAAGCAACAUAUUUUCAGAGAGAUGGAUGGUCAAAGUAGGACUGUGUCAAUGUGCAGAUAUUUUGGAACAAAGGGGGUUGUCGUGGAAUUGUCACCGGAGAUGUCCUCGAGCUAGGACUUAGUCGUGAAGCCAUCGCUACUAGGAAGCUUGAAGGGGUUAUGCGGGACAAGGAACACGAGGGUUAUACUGGUUCGGCCCCUUACGGUGAAGGUAAAAGCCUACGUCCAGUCUGCGGUGAUAUUGAUUAGGGUUACGAUCGCCAAGAGCUAGUCAGCUAUGCCCGGCUCUCGAUGAGAUUGUUCUCUCUCUUAAACCGCUGCCGGGUCGUCCCUUUAUAUAGGGAGGAAGACGCCCAGCAGCCCUUAGAGUCCCGGCCGGCUCAUAAGAGUGUCCGGCUCGGACUCUAAACUAAACUUGCCUUAAGCCGCAAGUUCUACUAUAAUAAUGAUUGUAACUACGGGCCUUAAGCUAUAUCCGGGUCUCAGCCCAUCUCUGGCCCAUCGUCUUGAAACUUGGCUCCGGGCUUCAGGCAACGACCGUACGAGUAACCCGGCCCCUCCUGGCGGGUGACUCUAAGGUCUAUAUCCUCAACAUUAGGCCCCAGAUUGAUUUGAGCCGGCUCACGUCAAUCUUCAACUCUUCUGACAGAAAAAAUCUCCGGCUUACCAUCUAUGUGAAGGCCAUAACCCGGAGUGACGUCAUCCUCUGGACUCUGGAUAAUCCGCCGUGACGUCAUCCUCCAUUAAGUCCGUUUUUUACUCCGCCAGAUCCGCAACGGAUCUUUGCUUUUACUGUCAUUCCGAAAAUCGAGGCGUCGUGAGGGGGAGAUAACCACGCCGUGGUUCCCUUGAAUCUCGCGCCCACUUAUGACCUCACCUUAUAAAUAGGCCAGCCCAACAGGUUCUUCUCACGCUCUCUUCUUCCUCCUCGCGUCGUCGCUCCUCUGCCAAAGCUCUACCACUGCCGCCGCCGUCGCGCCCCUGGUCUUCAUCAACCCGGCCGCUGCAUCACCCUGACUCGGACCAGAUAAACGGCGGCGACCUCCGCUCUUCUCCAACUCCGGUGAGUCUCCUUUACCCUGUCAGAUAGAUCUACCGUAGGGUUUGUCUGUGUUCUUCACGUUCAUCGCUAUCGCCACAAACCUCAGUAGUUCUCAUAGUCAUUGUACUUGAUUGAUCUCUAACCUUGCAUAGAACUAGUGCGGUAGUUGUCUUAAGCCUCAUUUCAAGUACCAGUAGAUCUCCUUCCACUGUACAGAUGCUUCGUUCGAGCUCAAGAAUAUCCGCUCGUCUGUUUCUAGGUCUAGAAAGUUUUCAUUUCACCCGACCAUUUUGAUCCAAAAAAGUUACUGCCAUAUGUGAAACCUGUUUUACCACACUUAGUAAAAACUGCAACUAUUGAAUCUUGGCGGCUUACAUUUCCGGCUUAAAGAAAACACGCGCCGUAGAACUUUCCGGUUUAAAGAAAACCAUGCUCUGUAGAAUCCUCCGGCUUAACUGUAGUAAAUAACCAAUUUACUCUGAAUCCCCCUGCGGCUUAAACAACCCACCGUAUCUAAAUAUAUAUCAUUAGUCCCCUUCAUAAGCCGCCAUCUUAGUUUGAAUGAUAGAUCUCCGGCUUAUAAUUAACCCGGACACUUUUCUCUUUAUCAUAGACCACCAACCUUCACCAUGCCUCCCAAGGCUCCCAUCACUUGCAACUGGAUGAGAUCCAACGUCACCGACGAGACCCUGGCCAAUUUCGUUAAGUCCGGAUAUUUUCCUAAGAAGGAAAUCAUGUCCUACCGUGCCCCUGACCCGUCGGAAGAGAGACCACAGCCAAGGGACGGGGAGGUAGUGAUCUUCGCAGACCAUAUGAGCCGGGGCUUCGCACCGCCUGGCUCAAAGUUUUUCAGGGACGUGCUCAACUUCUUUGACUUACGGCCUCAGGAUAUAGGACCCAACUCCGUAUCCAACAUCUGCAACUUCCAGGUCUUUUGCGAAGUGUACCUUGGAGAAGAGCCCAGUUUGCUGCUUUUCAGAGAACUGUUCUACUUAAACCGCCAAAAUGAGUGUGCCAAUGGGCCAAGUCUGGAGUUAGGCGGCAUCUCCAUCCAGCGGCGUAGGGACUGUCUGUUCCCUUACGCAGAGCCGCCAAGCCACCCCAAGGACUGGAAUAUGACUUGGUUCUACUGCCAAGAUACGUCCCCGGCUGACGAGAAUCCGCUGCCUGGCUUUCGCCCAACACGUCUAGAGCCGACUCAUCCGCUGUCGGACAAACUGACUGCAGCGGAACGCCAACCUCUGCUUCCAACCAUCAAUAAGAUCAAGGCCCUACUAGGCAACGGUCUGAACGGGAUUGACCUGGUCCGGGUCUGGAUCUCAUGGCGGGUGAUCCCAUUGAGCCGCCGCCCCAGCUUAAUGUGUGAGUACACCGGGCGAAAAGAUGACCCGCAGAGGCACAGUCGCAAUGAUCUUCCAGAAGAUGUUGCAGAGGAAGAGACCAAGGCUCUAUUAAACGAGAGUCUAGCAGACUGUGGAAGGACCGGGCUAGCGCCCUUCUGCAAGACCAAUCCAGCCCCAGCGGUAAGCCGCUGACUUUAACCUUUCAAUUUCUUCUGCAUGUAACCUUGAUCUGAACUGUUUUAAGAAUCAAUCAUUGUAUCCUUCAGGCUGAUGACAAAUUCUGGUAGGUCAAAUAUGACCAUGAAGCGGCCAAGAAGACCAGGAAGGCGAAGAAAGCCGCCAAGAAAGCCGCCCCUCGCAAAAAGGGAAGCAGACCCACUGCUUCGGAGCUAAUGCAAUUAAGCGACAGCUCCGAGUCAGAGGUAACCCUUAAACCUUUAAAUUUUUGUUAUAUUUGUUGUUUGUUGCUGUCUUCCUUAUCAACACUUUGCUCAUUGACAGGAUGACACCGGCGCCAGUAACCCGGUGGUUGAAGAGGUAACAUCACUUUCCUCCGGCUCGGAGCCCUUGCCACAGCUGAAAGUCCGAAGGGUAACCCGGAAAGUAAGCUUUUCUCAUCCUUUAGCUCAUCAAGACCCUCAAUUUCCUUUGAAGCAGCAGGUUCACGAAAGUCGGCGUCACACCCGGGCCCGCAAGGACACCGACCUCUCCGUCGGGUUACCCGACGCAACAAGGAAGCGUCGCACUGAGGUUUUCUUUUCUCACUUGUACCCUUUUCAUCCGUUGGCGGGUGUUAUCCGUCAGCCACUCAACUCUUCUGACUCCAAUUAUCUGGAGACCUCCCCCUCUUCGGGUGACUCCAUGCAGUCAAAUCUGCCGGCCUUCAAGACUGCACCCGGGUAAUAACAAUCUCCUUACAUUAUCUUGUCUGUACUUACUCGUUGUGUGCCUAACACUUCUGUCUUUUUAGUGCCCAGGCAAAGCUCACCAAACGGGCGAAGAAGACCAGAUCAGCCGGAGUGCCAGACUUACCUGACCCGGAGGCGACGGCUCAAGAGCCGCCAGCUGCCUCCGCCCCCGAAGCCACCACUCCAAAGAAUACGGCGCCUGAGGCCCCUGCCCCGACUACCAAGACAACGACCGAAGCUUCGGUUAACCCGGAGGCCUCCGGCUCAGCUCCACCAGCAGACGACCCGGACGUGGUAAUCACCCGGACGGAAUUCGUUGAGCCGGGGAGACCGACCGUGUUGGCCCAAUGCUCCGCGAAGGGGGAGUUACUGCAGCCCCACCGGGUGAACCUGGACCUCUCCGGCUACACCGACUUGAGCAUUGGAGAGCUCGUCUCCGGCUACAUCAAUCAAGUCCACAAGAGCCGGGACGCCGAGGUCGCCAUGGUCAACCAGAUCCAACAAAAAUCUGAGGUAUCCUUCUGCUGCCGUCUUAUUUACUGCAUAGUUACCUUUGCCAUGCUAGCCCCCAAGUCAACGACUUAUGCUUGAAUAUGUUGUACACUUAGGUUCCGGCUUACUCAACUGAGCCGGCAAUAUGUAGAUAGAUACGUUCAAUAUGCAUUAGCCCCCAAAUGCCAAGUGUCUUUGCUUGGAAAGCGCUUAGGACUUAUAUAAUGACUGUUAAUAACCCGGAAAUAUAUGCAGGCUGUUGGCAAGAAAUUAGAGGCGGAUCUUGCGGAUCUCAAGAGCCGGCUGAAAAUGCAGGAGAUGGAGACCCGGAAGGCAAACGCCAAGUUUGUAUCCAGCAUCGCCACUUACGAAAAAUUGAAGACCGAGUUUGAUGCUGAGAGGAAAGCCUGGGUCGAAGAGAAGGCCGCACUGGUGACCCGGGCGGAACAGGCGGAGAAGGCUCUCGCUGAGAAGACCGCCGAGCUCUCCGGCCUAAAGCGCCAGGUUUCCCAAAUGGUGGCUGCUAUCUUUGGUAAGUCACCUCACCGGCUUUCAUCAAGUAUGUAUAUAUCAUGAUUCAUCCUUGUCACCGGCUUAUCUGAUCUUGUUAAACAGGUCCCAGGAGUGCCAACCUCAAUCAGAGCGUGGUCACCAAAUUAAAGGUCGUGUACACCCUGGUGGAACAGCUCUACACCGGGUCACAGCGUGCCUUAGCUGUGGUGGCCCUAUCCAACGAGGUGCCAACUCAUCUGGUCAAAGUCCUGCGCCGGCUCGCUGUUCUGCCACAGCGGAUCCAGGAGCUACGACGAGCCUCUGCGAAAGCCGGAGCAAUCGCCGCGCUGAGCCGGGCCAAAGCAUUCCUGCCGGAGCUAGACCCGGCAGACAUCACCCUGGGUUAUCCAAGCCUGAAGGAAGACGGCUCAGCCUUCGACCAGAGGGACUUCGCGGCGUGUGUGAAGGCUGUACGCCCGGUGGCCACCAUCAUCGGGAACGACACCGACUUAACCAAGUACCAGCCGGGUUACGAUGCGGAGAAUCGGAGGAUUCCAACCCCUCGCUAUGAAGCUCUCAAUCUGAUUCCUCCGGCUCGUCAGCACACCUUCGCCCCGGAGAUUGACCCGGCCGGGUUAAUUGAUGAAGAAGCCCAGUUCGAAACUCUCAGCGGCAUUGACUGGAAAUCAUCCACCUUCGAGGUCUUAGGUUCAGCCGGAGGAGAAGACAGGAAUGAGCCGGGGACUUCAACCCAGCAGGCAUCAUAGUUUAACUGGCGGGUUACCAAACAUUGUUCCACCUUUUAAACUUGAGGAGUUAUUGUAAUAGAGUAGGCGCAACAAUUUAUCUCUGCCGUGCCAUCGUGCACGUUUUGAAUGCGAAAGCCCUUUGAAUUUGUCUCUUUGAUGCUUCUCCGGGUCAUAAUCCUUCCAUUGCUUUUCUUAACCUCAAAAGGUGCUUUUAAGUUUCUGCAUAUAAAAGCAAAUCACAAAUCUCGAGGCGACUUACCGCCCUGAGAUUCAGGUGUUUAAGAUAAAUAACCCGGAAUAUGAAUUAAAAAAGACUGGUCCUUGAUUACACUCUGAACAUAGCCGUAACAAUCACACUUAUCAGCCUGUAAGUAUACUUCCGGUUGAAAGAACCCGGUGCAGUAAGUUGACGCCAAAAUUAAGCCGGCACGUGAAACACGGCCAUGCACACCUCAGAGUAAACUUGUGAAAAAGCAGAAGAACUUAGGGGCUUCCGGUUCGAAUACGACCAGAGACCCGGCCCCAAGGGGUUAAGCUAAGAUUCGGAUACGACCAUAUAGCCCCCAGUGGGUGUGGCGAUGCCAAUCAAGAGGGUACCGACAGCUAUGUUCUCUUUGGUUCGAAUACGACCCAUGUUUGAACAGGAAGCCCCCAAGUGAUUCUUAAAAUUGUUUAACGACGCUGAUUCGAAUACGAUCCACGUCGGUUCUCAGAGGGGUUAAACUAUGAUUCAAAUAUGACCAAAGGCAACCUCCCAAUGAGCUCGGCACUUUGCCAAUCAAAUGGGUAUCGACAGCUAUGUUCUCUUUGGUUCGAAUACGACCCAUGUUUGAACAGGAAGCCCCCAAGUGACUUUAUUGCUUACGGCUAGAUUCGAAUACGAUCAUAAGCCGGAUCCUCCUUUAGCAUGUAAUCUUGUAAUAAAAACAACACACGCAUAUUUGGAGGAGAAAAAAGGACAGAGGUCCUGCUUUAUUGCUUAUUAUAAUAUAUACAUGGCUGAGAUGAAUAUGUACACCACGAGAGCCGGUAGUUCAAGUGUAGUAAGGCCGAAGCUGAGCUAUGUUCCACGGCCGACGGGUCUCUUCCUCAGACUUACGUGAAUCUUUGUGCUCCCGAAUGUCAAUGAGGUAAUAUGACCCGUUGUGCAAAUUCUUUCUGACCACAAAAGGCCCUUCCCAAGGUGGGGAUAACUUAUGUGCAUCUGUUUGAUCCUGGAUGAGCCGGAGCACAAGGUCGCCUUCCUGGAAGACCCGGGAUUUGACCCGGCAGCUAUGAUAACGGCGCAGGUCUUGUUGGUAAAUCGCUGAACGGGUUGCUGCCACAUCACGCUGUUCGUCCAACAAGUCCACAGCAUCUUGGCGCGCCUGUUCAUUAUCCGUCUCAACAUAAGCCGCCACGCGAGGCGAAUCGUGACGGAUGUCGCUGGGCAGGACUGCUUCUGCUCCAUAAACCAUGAAGAAAGGCGUGAAGCCUGUAGACCUGUUAGGAGUAGUGUUGAUGCUCCAUAAAACGGAGGGCAACUCCUCCACCCAACAACCCGGCGUCCGUUGCAAAGGGACCAAAAGCCGGGGCUUGAUGCCCUUCAGAAUUUCCUGGUUAGCUCUUUCAGCUUGACCAUUGGAUUGAGGAUGAGCCACUGAAGAAACAUCAAGCCGGAUAUGCUCUCGUUGACAAAACUCUUCCAUGGCGCCUUUGGAGAGAUUGGUGCCGUUGUCAGUUAUAAUGUUGUGCGGAAAACCAAAGCGAAAAAUCACCUUUUUCAUAAAUUGAACCGCCGUGGCUGCAUCACACUUGCUGACUGGCUCAGCUUCCACCCACUUUGUGAAUUUGUCAACUGCCACCAAGAGGUGGGUCUUCUUAUCCUUGGACCGUUUAAAAGGCCCAACCAUAUCAAGCCCCCAGACCGCAAAGGGCCAAGUGAUUGGGAUCAUCCUCAAUUCCUGAGCCGGCACGUGAGCCCAUCGUGAGAACCUUUGGCAACCAUCCAUUUACUGACCAAGUCUUCUGCAUCAGCAUGAGCUGUCAACCAAUAAAUACCAUGACGGAAAGCCUUGGCUACAAGGGAUUUUGAGCCGGCAUGAUGGCCACAAUCCCCUUCAUGGAUCUCCCGCAAGAUCUCUUGGCCUUCCUCAGGGGAAAUACAACGUUGAAAUGCCCCUGAAACACUGCGAUGAUGUAACUCGCCAUCGAUGACGAUCAUCGACUUAGCCCGCCGGGUUAUUUGCCUGGCCAGGGUUUCAUCCUCAGGCAACUCUCCCCGGGUUAUAUAAGCCAGAUAUGGCAUUGUCCAGUCUGGUAUGACAUGAAGAGCCGCCACCAGUCGUGCCUCCGGGUCAGGGAUAGCCAAGUCCUCCUCUGUAGGCAACUUAACCGAGGGGUUAUACAGGACAUCCAGGAAAGUGUUAGGCGGCACCGGCUUUCGCUGAGAGCCUAGCCGGCUUAAAGCAUCAGCCGCCUCGUUCUUUCUGCGAUCAAUGUGCUCCACUUGGUAUCCCUGAAAGUGCCCAGCAAUGGCAUCAACCUCGCGGCGAUAAGCCGACAUGAGAGGAUCCUUAGAAUCCCAGGUGCCUAACACUUGUUGAGCCACCAAGUCCGAGUCACCAAAGCACCUUACCCGGCUUAAGCUCAUCUCCUUAGCCACCCGAAGACCGUGGAGCAAAGCCUCGUAUUCAGCCGCAUUGUUAGUGCAAGGAAACAUCAGCUGUAGCACAUAAUGGAACUUGUCACCCUUAGGGGAAGCCAAUACCACGCCAGCCACCGAGCCCUCCAGCUGUCUGGACCCAUCAAAGUGAAUAGUCCAAUAAGUGUUAUCCGGCUUUUGCUCAGGCACUUGUGACUCUGUCCAAUCAUUGAUGAAAUCCACCAAGGCCUGAGAUUUAACAGCAGUGCGUGGCACAUAUUUGAGGCCAUGAGGUCCAAGUUCGAUAGCCCACUUAGCAAUUCUCCCUGUGGUCUCUCUGUUUUGAAUAAUAUCACCAAGAGGGGCAGAACUGACCACAGUGAUGGGAUGACCCUAAAAAUAAUGCUUAAGCUUCCGGCUCGCCAUGAACACACCAUACACAAGCUUCUGCUAAUGCGGGUACCGCUGCUUGGACUCAAUGAGCACUUCGCUGACAUAAUAAACCGGCCGCUGAACCGGAUGCUCCUUACCCGCCUCCUUGCGCUCCACCACAACAGCCAUGCUGACAGUUCGCGCGUUCGCCGCCACAUAUAGUAGCAAGGGCUCCUUAUCAACCGGAGCAGCAAGGACGGGGGGCUCUGCCAGCUGCUUUUUCAAAUCCUCAAAAGCGGUAUUAGCUGCAUCACUCCAGACAAAGUUAUCAGUUUUCUUCAUCAACUGAUAUAAGGGCAUAGCCUUCUCACCCAAACGGCUUAUAAACCGGCUUAAAGCAGCGAUGCGACCCACCAAGCGCUGAACGUCAUUUAUACACGCCGGCUUAGCUAGGGAGGUGAUGGCCUUGAUCUUCUCCGGGUUAGCCUCAAUACCUCUGUCAGAAACCAAGAAACCCAAUAGUUUGCCUGCAGGAACACCAAAAACACACUUGGUCGGGUUAAGCAUCAUCUUAUAGACCCGAAGAUUGUCAAAGGUUUCUCUUAAGUCAUCUAUCAGGGUUUCCUCCUUGAGGGAUUUAACCACAAUAUCAUCCACGUAAGCGUGAACAUUGCGCCCGAUCUGUUUAUGAAGACAGUUCUGUACACAGCGCUGGUAAGUCGCCUGUGCACACUUGAGUCCAAAGGGCAUAGACACAUAGCAGAAGGCUCCAAAGGGAGUGAUGAAUGCCGUCUUCUCCUGGUCCUUAACCGCCAUCUUAAUCUAAUGAUACCCGGAAUAAGCAUCCAAGAAACUUAAGCGUGCACAACCCGCCGUAGCAUCAAUGAUUUGAUCAAUACGGGGGAGGGCAAAAGGAUCAGCCGGACACACCUUGUUCAAGUCCGUGUAGUCCACACACAUCCGCCAGGUGCUGUUCUUCUUGAGUACGAGCACCGGGUUAGCCAACCAUUCUGGGUGAAAAACUUCAACAAUAAACCCGGCCGCCAAGAGCCGGGCCACUUCUUCACCAAUGGCCUUCCGCCUCUCCUCAUUAAACCGUCGAAGGAACUGUCUGACCGGCUUAAAUUUUGGAUCAACAUUGAGAGUAUGCUCAGCGAGUUCUCUAGGUACACCUGGCAUGUCAGAAGGUUUCCAUGCGAAGAUGUCCCUAUUCUCACGGAUGAACUCGAUGAGCGCGCUUUCCUAUUUUGGAUCCAGAUUGGCACUGAUGCUAAACUGCUGAGAUGAAUCUCCUGGAACAAUAUCAACAAGCUUAGUUUCAUCAGCCGACUUAAAUUUCAUUGCCGGCUCAGUCUCCGUAGUCGGCUUCUUCAGAGAGGUCAUGUCUAUUGGGUCAACAUUGUCUUUGUAAAACUUCAGCUCCUCUGUAGCACAAACAGACUCUGCAUAAGCUGCAUCACCUUCCUCACACUCCAGAGCCACCUUCCGGCUGCCGUGAACCGUAAUGGUCCCAUUGUGACCCGGCAUCUUGAGCUGUAAGUACACAUAACACGGCCGUGCCAUGAACUUGGCGUAAGCCGGCCGUCCAAAUAUAGCAUGGUAUGGACUUCUUAUCUUGACCACCUCAAAGGUCAAUUUCUCCACCCUGUAGUUGUUCUCAUCACCAAAAGCCACUUCCAACUCGAUCUUGCCGACUGGAUAAGCCGACUUACCAGGUACCACACCAUGGAAGAUAGUGUUUGACUGGCUGAGGUUCUUAUCAACCAGCCCCAUACGGCGAAAAGUCUCAUAAUAGAGGAUGUUGAUGCUGCUGCCUCCAUCCAUGAGCACCUUUGUGAACUUACAACCUCCCACCUGAGGAGCCACCACUAAGGCCAAGUGGCCUGGGUUAUCCACCUGGGGAGGGUGAUCCUCCCUACUCCAUACUAUAGGCUGCUCAGACCACCGCAGGUAGCGUGGAACCGCCGGCUCAACAGCAUUCACAGCCCUCUUGUGAAGCUUCUGAUCUCGUUUGCACAAACUAGUGGUGAACACAUGAUACUGUCCACCGCUAAGCUACUUUGGGUUGGUCUGAUAACCCCCCUGCUGCUGUUGAUGACCCUGACCAGACUGUUGAUUGAAGCCCCCUUGACCGCUCUGAGGACCGGAAUUUGAGCCGCCGCCCGGGCCAUGAAAGCCGCCGGCGCCUGAGCCGCCGCCCGGGCCAUUGUAGCUCUUAAAGGCCUUCAUGAUCGUGCAAUCCUUCCACAGAUGAGUCGCUGGUUUCUCUCUAGAGCCACGCCUCGGGAAGGGGUCCUCCCCUUGCGUCGCUGGUUAUUACUUUGGGAGUUGGCGUUGGCUACAAACUCUAGGCUGCCAUCGGCCUUACGCUUGCCUCCUCCUUGGUUCCCCGGGUUAAACUGAGGACCCUUGCCAUUGCCGUUCUUCUUUCCCUUCCCAGUCCUUUCAUCGUCUGAAGGGGGAUCCUUGGUACCAUCGGAAUCGGCGUAUUUGACAAGAGCCGCCAUUAGUGUACCCAUAUCAGUGCAGUCACGUUUAAGCCGCCCGAGUUUCAUCUUUAGGGGCACAAAGCGACAGUUUUGUUCCAACAUUAAGACUGCAGAGCCGGCGUCCAUCUUAUCCGAUGAGUGUAUGAUCUCCUUGACCCGGCGAACCCAAUGGGUCGUGGAUUCACCCUCUUGCUGCUUACAGUUAGUCAGAUCCACAAUUGACAUAGACUGCCUACAGGUAUCUUUGAAGUUUUGAAUGAACCGGGCUUUCAGCUCAGCCCAAGACCCAAUGGAGUUCGGUGGUAGCCCUUUCAACCACGUGCGGGCAGUUCCAUCUAACAUCAUGGUGAAAUAUUUGGCCAUGGCUGCCUCACUGACCUCCAGCAAUUCCAUAGCCAUCUCAUAACUCUCAACCCAGGCUGCAGGCUGUAAGUCAGCUGUAUAGUUAGGUACCUUCCUGGGGCCCUUGAAGUCCUUAGGUAGACGUUCAUUACGGAUAGCUGGCACCAAGCAAGGGACACCCCCGGUCCUGGUAGGGAUACCCACAUCAACGGAAGUCGUCGGAUAAGCCGGGGGGGUCUGGUAAGCCGUCAACUGAGGCACCUGCUCCGCCUCUUGCCGUGCUUGGUCUGCUGCGUAAAAGGCUCCAUUAUGAGCCGGGCCAUGGCCAGGGGGCGGGUCAUGGCGUCGGACAUUACUUGAGCCGGUUGCUGAGGCCAUGUGACGGCUGUAACUCGGGCUCUAGCCUGGACGAGGGGUCGAGUGGAUCAUGUCCCGGCUGUAGGAGUACGCCUCUUGCUGUGCCAGUGCCGUCUGCAGGAGUUCCCUGACCCGGUGGGUUUCGAUGGCCGCUGGAGAGUCGCCGUCAACGGGGAGAGCCGCCAGUCGUGCUGCCGCAGCUACCAUGUUCUCCAGCGGGUUAUCAUAAUGACCCGGGGGUAUUGGCACGUAUUGAGGCGGGGCAGGGGGCACCUGGGGAGGCCCCAUCACCCGUGGCUGAAUGAGGGGUCCAGACCCGGGCGCGAUGACCCCUGGCGGGUUACUGGACCCUGCACCUGGCGUGUUGAAGAGAUUGCGUGGAUCGUAAACCGGCGGGAGUCGAGACUGGGCCUUCUGAUGCCUCCUUCUCAUGACCUCGUUGGCCGCCUUCUGAUCCAUCGUGAGUUGGAAGGACUGCGCUUGAAACAGCUGAGUCCGGGCGUCGAGAGCCGCCCGCUCCGCAGCCAGCCUGAUCCCUUCCGCUGCAAGAUCCUCUUUAGCUUUUAUCAACUCCAGUUUUAACUGUGCCACUUCCGCAUCAUGCUGAGCUUGAUUCGCCGGGUCAACCAUGGCGGUUAACAGGGCCGUCAUCUUGUCCGUGAGAUCCAUCAGCACCUGAGCCGGAGAAGGCACCGGGUUUCCCGAUCCAGCAGCGGGGUUUUGAACAGGCUGCGCACCAGCCAUAAAAAUUCCAAUCUGACUUGGCGGCUCAAAAAGGUCCGGAAUACUGUCGCCAUCGGAACAACCCAUGAGCCUGCCAUCUUGAAGUUGGUACAAAGAGUUUGAUUCAUCGGUGGCCGACUCGCUGUCAGAGCCGGCGGCCGCCUCAUCACCAGACCCAGAUGGAUCAAAGGGCCCUCCAUGGAUGCAUCCCACAAAGGCGCGCCUUAAGGCAGGCCGGGCCCGGGCGGGUCGUGCACGCUGAGCCGUUUCGGUGAGAUCGGUGCAGAGACCCGGCUCGGGGCCCGGCUCGCCAAUCUUGCCGAUGAAGACAUGAAUUCCGCCAAAGGGGACCCGGUACCCGUACUCAAUUGAGCCGGCGUCGGGGCCCCAGUCCGCAUCGUCGAUGUAGAGCUUGCCGCGACGACUCUUGGUCAUCCGGCCCACAGCGUAUCCCUUGAGCCCUUCGAAGCUGCCCUUAAGAACUCAAAUCCACCGUGCGCUGGCCCCACGGUGGGCGCCAACUGUCGUGGAAUUGUCACGGCAGAUGUCCUCGAGCUAGGACUUAGUCGUGGAGCCAUCGCUACUAGGAAGCUUGAAGGGGUUAUGCGGGACAAGGAACACGAGGGUUAUACUGGUUCGGCCCCUUACGGUGAAGGUAAAAGCCUACGUCCAGUCUGCGGUGAUAUUGAUUAGGGUUACGAUCACCAAGAGCUAGUCAGCUAUGCCCGGCUCUCGAUGAGAUUGUUCUCUCUCUUAAACCGCUGUCGGGUCGUCCCUUUAUAUAGGGAGGAAGACGCCCAGCAGCCCUUAGAGUCCCGGCCGGCUCAUAAGAGUGUCCGGCUCGGACUCUAAACUAAACUUGCCUUAAGCCGCAAGUUCUACUAUAAUAAUGAUUGUAACUACGGGCCUUAAGCUAUAUCCGGGUCUCAGCCCAUCUCUGGCCCAUCGUCUUGAAACUUGGCUCCGGGCUUCAGGCAACGACCGUACGAGUAACCCGGCCCCUCCUGGCGGGUGACUCUAAGGUCUAUAUCCUCAACAGGGGUGUUUAUAUCUUGGAAGGCCAAAAGUUCAAACCUCUUGUGGCGGCCAAAUUGGAAAACCGAACCAUUAGCUGCAUGAUGUAUAGAUGGAAAUCAGAUUAUUCUGUUUUUUGGAAGAAGAAAGAGGCACAAAUUUAAAAAUUGCAACCUAUUGACAAAAUGAAGUGCGCAGCACCUCGAUGCUGAAAAAAAAAGUGGGAGUUCCUUCCUGAGCAAUGAUGGUAGACCCAGAUCCUACUUGGCGCUUCAGGCAGUAUUUCCUUAGCUAUUUCCUUAGAGCAAACUGGGGCGGCCCAUAAACGUGAAGAGCGUUACCUUCUGGCCAGUUUUUAGGAAGCUUCCAGAAGCUUUUCAAACACUUUUUCUCCUUUUUAUGUUCUUUCUUUUUUAUUUUCGUUUUUUCUUUUACUUUUUCCUUGUUUAAAAUGCGUCAAGUUUUUCUUAAAUUUGCAAAAAAAACCUUAAAUUCAUGAACUUAUUUCAAAUUUGUGAAGUUUUUUCCUCAAAAAAGUGAACUUUUCAAAAUUGCUAACAUUUUCCCAAAUUUGUGAUUUUUUUUAAAUCUGCAAAACACGUUAAUUUUUUCUCUAAUUUAUAAACUUCUUUCAAAUUUGUGUAGUUCUAUCAAACUCAUGAACAUUUUUUCAAAGGUCAAGGAUAAGUCGAUAGUCAAUGGUCUACGAUGAUUCAUGAACUUUUUUUUCAAAUCCACGAUUUUUUUUCAAAUUGGUGAACUUUGUUUGUAUUCACAAACCUUUUAGAUUUUUUUUGAAUUUUUUGAUUUCACAAAGUUUUGAAAAUUCCUAUUUUUAAAAAAUUAAUUGCCGACUUUAUUGGGGAUUUUAUUUCGAAAUCAACGGUCAAACCGGUGAACUGAUCGAGUAUGCAACCGAGCGCGUGCGUGCGCGGCGGGNNNNNNNNNNNNNNNNNNNNNNNNNNNNNNNNNNNNNNNNNNNNNNNNNNNNNNNNNNNNNNNNNNNNNNNNNNNNNNNNNNNNNNNNNNNNNNNNNNNNNNNNNNNNNNNNNNNNNNNNNNNNNNNNNNNNNNNNNNNNNNNNNNNNNNNNNNNNNNNNNNNNNNNNNNNNNNNNNNNNNNNNNNNNNNNNNNNNNNNNNNNNNNNNNNNNNNNNNNNNNNNNNNNNNNNNNNNNNNNNNNNNNNNNNNNNNACAAGAUCGGAGGUCUCAAGGUUGACAUGGUAAAUUGGGACGUGGACGUUUGGUCUAUGGGUGUAUAUACACUCUAUAUGAAAAUAAAAUUAAUAACUAAACAAAAAGCCAAAAAAAACUGAAAAUGUUUUUGAAACAAGCUUGACCUCCAAUUGUACGUGUAAAAAAAUUCCACAAAAAAUAACCCUUUGACUUGUUUUAAAAAAAUCAGCCAAAAUAGUGUGGAUAGUGACUUAUAAUAGCAAAUAAUUUUGGUUUUUGAUUUUGCCCUGAAGUGAACGCUGGUUUUUUAUUCGUGGAAUUUUAUAUGCUAGUGCCAAAGAAAGUCAAGUUAAUUCUUAAAAAAUUCUGAAAUGUUUCUAUUUUUUGUAAUUAUUAAAGAAAAUCUCAUAUAGGGUGUAAUUACAACCAGAAACCGAGGGGUAUUUGCCUGGUAAAUUUGUUCAACCGAUUGAAUGCUGAAUGAACUACCCACCCUAUCAUAAACAAACGGGCCUUUUUACACCUGAGAAAAAAUACUACUGGGCCAAGUAAAAGCGCUGUCGGCCCACAGCCCGUCCCGCCGGCCCUCGUCCAUUCGCACGCCGCACCUUUUCACCGCAGUCUCACUCUCUCCUCAGAUUCAGAAGCAGCGGCAUCUCCAUCACCGUCGCCGUCGCCGCCGCCGCCGCCGCGCCUCCACUGAGUGCCGCCCUAGCCUGCGCGCCUCUCCUCGAGCCUGGCCUCCGCCGUCCCCGUGCACGCCCACGAGCCUCCCGCCACCGGGCCCAGUCCUCCUUCCUAGGUAGGUAAGCACGCACGCACCCUGCAUCUCCGGCGGUUGAUGGCUGAUUAUCCUUUAUUAUGUGCGCGGGUGCCCUUCUGCUAGAUCCAUUUCAGUGUCCGCUAUGAUUGUUUGUGCCAUGCGACGAUCUUGGUCUUAGCAUGAUCAGAGGAAACCAAUUUUCAGCUGUCCAUUGUUUGCUAUAUGCUGCUCGGUUCAGGGCAGGCUCGUGUGUUAUACUCGCUAGUGUCUGAGGCUGUGGCACAGCAAUAUAUCCAUGUCCACAUUUUAGAUGUACACUUGGUGAAAGUAGAGGGUGUCACAGCAGUGUAUAUGCAACUGCAGAUGUUAGAUCCAUGCUUGCUGAAAGUAGGGGCAACGGCAUAGCAGUAUGUGCAUGUGCGGAUCUUAGAUUUGUUAUAGUUGGUGAAUGUAGAGGCACUGCCAGGAAUUGUUUUCUUAGUGCGCCCCUGAAAUUCUGAGCUGCAUGCCGCUUCGCAGUGGCGUGCCGUGCUUUCUAAUCCACGUAGUACUUACGUCCCAUGUCUUCUGAGAUCAGACUUUGCUUUGAAUUUACAUGAGAAAUACAAACCAUGUCUGAAUCUUCGCUGGUUGUAAAUAUCAUUGUUCCAAAAUAUCGGCCAGUUAAUCGGCAUCUCGGUCAGUUAAUUGCUACUCUGUUGGUCACCGAAUAACCGAUUAAUUGAUUUAUCGGACGAUUAACUGGAAAAUUCGCCUAUUUAUCCCUACUCAGCACCCGGCCGAUAUGGUACCAGUUACCGAUAUCCUGAAAUUUAAAUAUUAUGACCCUACAUUACAUCACCGGUUCCGAACGCAAUUUGUUAUUCUUUGUGAUCCUGUUGUAAACGUUGGGGGUUCAUAGCAGCCUGCCUUAGUGUCUCAACUGAAUUGGAAUUUCACAAGUCUUUGUACCUGUUCCCCUUCUCUUCAUCUUACCGAUAUCCUGAAAUUUGAAUAUUAUGACCCUACAUUACAUCACCGGUUCCGAACGCAAUUUUUUAUUCUUUGUGAUCCUGUUGUAAACGUUGGGGGUUCAUAGCAGCCUGCCUGAGUGUCUCAACUGAAUUAGAAUUUCACAAGUCUUUGUACCUGUUCCCCUUCUCUUCAUCUUACUUUAUGCUGAUUCCUCUGCUGGGCCAGCUCCAGAAUGGGUCUCCUCAGCAUCAUCAGAAAAAUCAAGCGCAAGGAAAAGGAGAUGCGUAUUCUCAUGGUGUAAGCGUCCUGCUCCAUUCCUUUUUCGCCUUCUUAUUUUACCCCAGAUUCCUCCUAUCCAAACGCAUUAUUAUUCUUGGUUCUUUGCUUGAUAUGUAUGCUUCUUGACUUUCAAGGCUUGUGCCUUUCAGUUCUUUGUUAAUUGUUAUUCUUGAUUGAUUUAUUUCACCGAUGUCAAAUUUACAGCGGCCUGGACAACUCGGGUAAGACGACAAUUGUGCUCAAGAUAAAUGGGGAGGACACCAGUGUCAUCAGCCCUACUCUUGGCUUUAAUAUCAAGACCAUCCAGUACCAAAAGUAUGUACUACAUUCUUUGCUUAUUUAUCAAGUUAAGUAUAUGCCAUAACAGUAAUCAUCACUUCCAGCUGAUGUUAUAUUUGAUCGUUCCAUUUCCAUCUCGAGCAAAUCUAGAAAAAUGUCAGCUGUAGUAACAAAAAGUGCAAAAGGGGGCUGUGAGAAAUUUCAGAGUAAUUUAGGUUGAUGAUUCCAAUUUUAUAGUACCUCCAGGGUAUGCCACUUGUAUUAAGUAUUAACUGAAGGUGUUCUAGAAGAUAUCAUAGUAAUUUUAGCACUUGUAAUAUCUAUGUAUAUUCACUGCAUAGUACCACCGUUUUUCAACAGCGUCAGAAUUUUUCGUGCCUAUUAACUAUUGCAAGUAUGCCAUGCAUUCUGUUAUGUGAAGGGCACCCUAGCCUUUGUAGUUGCAUAAGAUAAUUAGAGGAACAAUCUUGCAAUCUGGGCUUGUUCUCUGGAGGUUUAGUGAUUAAUAUAUAAUUUCAACAGCUUUAGAUGAUUUCAUUUCAAUUACUGCUGGGGGAGAGUACUGUCGUGUUGUGCUUCAGCUAAAAUCAACUGAAGGUGGUCGAGCACCAGCAGUAUUCAAGGUGUGCAACUAGAUUCUUGGGGAAAAGCUAAGAGAGGAUGAGAUCCACAUAUAUGUUUGGGAAUUUUGUAGGCUGUAUUGCUCCACAACCACAAACAUCAGAGUGUAGUUUGGCACCGAUGUUUUCAAGUGGAAAGAGCAGACGCUAAUAUUUAAAUUCAACACAGGCGCAGUGCAAUUUGGAAUUUUGAAUAACUUAUGAAUUGACAAUUUUAGGGACAGGGUAGGACAACGGUGACACCGAACAGUACUAUCAAGCAAUAUGAUGGUUUGUUUUAGCUUGUUUUUAAGUCUAUGUCAGUCAGCAUCUGUCGUGUUUUCGGCCUACUAUGAAGCAAGCUGCAUGGAUGGUUGUAUUUUUAGCAUUCAAAGUAGGCAAUGCAAUUCCGAAUCUGGAGAGGUACUAAAUCACAUCUGCUGUGUUUUAGUUUGUUAUCAAGUGGGAAGAGGAGAUGAUAAUAUUUAAGUCUAACACUGAUGCGGUGUAAUUUGUAUAACUUAUGGUCAGCAAAUUGACAAUUUUAGAGACACUAGGACAACUGUGACACCAAAUGGUACAAUCAAGCAAAAUAUGAUGGUUCAUUUUAGCUUGUUUUUAGGUCUUCGUCAGCCGGCAUCUGUUAUGUUUUCAGCCUAUUACUGUACAAAGCAAGCUGCAUGGAUGGUUGUACUUUUAGCAUUUAAUGUAAGCUAUGCAAUUACUAACCUGUAAUCUGGAAAAGUGCUAAACCACAUCGGUGAAAAUACAACACAUUUUGGCCAUAAUUUUGACAGCUGCUUGAUGCCCAUCACUCAUGAAUCAUGGUGGUCAAAAACUCACAAUGCAUGAGCACAGUCAUGGGAACAGCAGAACAAAUUGCCAGGAAUUGAUAAUGGGGCUGAUUGUGGCAGGUACUCGCUGAACAUAUGGGAUGUUGGGGGCCAGAAGACCAUCCGUUCGUAUUGGAGGAACUACUUUGAGCAGACUGACGGUCUAGUUUGGGUGGUGGAUAGUUCCGAUGUCCGAAGGCUCGAUGAUUGCCGUGCUGAGCUCCACAAUCUUUUGAAAGAAGAGGUAAAUUGCCUAGUGAAUACCACUAAUCGUCUGCUUUAGCAUUCUUUGUCUUGAAAUUUUGCUUCAAAUUACUUAGCUGAAAACUAGCAAUUGCUGUUUAGCAUCAGGAAACUCUUGGGACUGCAAAUUUGAUUACCUAGCAUGUUUGUGCUUAAUUUAUGUGCUAUCCUGUUCAACUACUGAAUGACCCUUGAAAUAUUGAUUACAGAGACUGGCUGGGUCAUCGCUGUUAGUUUUCGCAAAUAAGCAGGACAUUCAAGGCGCUUUGAAGCCUGACGAGAUCGCCAAGGUAAAACACACUAUCACUAGUCCAGUACUCCAGUAGUAUGUAUAUAUGGACCCUCAUGUAUGGGUCAAUCUUCUUACCUGGAGUCGCAUGAUGCCAUGACCAUCUUGUGAUCGUCGCUUCAGGGAGUAGCCAAAACCUCGGAAAACAAUCCCAGCAAGCAUAUACAUACUAGUCUGUGGUCUUCGCUCCAAGAUGCUUUUUGUCUUCUUAAAUUGACAUGUUUAGUCUUUGAAUUCGAUGGUAACUGGAGUUGAGUUUUGGAUUCAGGUUCUGAAUCUUGAAGUGAUGAACAAGGACCGGCACUGGAAGAUUGUCGGCUGCAGCGCCUACACGGGCGACGGCCUGCUCCAGGGCUUCGACUGGCUGGUUCAGGACAUCGCCUCCCGCAUCUAUGUCCUCGACUGAAACAACCAAACUCUCUGGACAUUUAGCCAUAGGCAUGCUGCUGCUUUGGCCAUCUCAUGGCAUCUGUAUGUAAUCUGAUCAAGUUUGAACCAAACCAUAAAUGACAUUUUUAUUCUACACUUCCCUUGUGCUCCGUGUCAGUUGUGAAAGAUGGUGACAGCAAGUUUUGCAUCUUAUGCAGGAUUAGAAUAUGGAUGCUCGCAAUCAGUCCGAAUGACAGCAAGUUUAGAAUAUUUUUUUUCCUGAUUCACAGAACAAUUUCAAUAGAUCUAAGCAAAGAUCGAUGGAUGCUUCAGAACAGUAGAGAGAAAGGAACAAAAAUAAUCAGGACACAGAGGAGGAUAUUUCGCAGCUAUGACGACUUGCAUUUUCUUCCAUUUAAACCGAGUUCAAACAUAGGAUAUUCCAACAUCACAUCCCAAUCCAUGACAGAAGGGAUUGCUGCAUCACCGACGACCGACCGACCAAGACUGAAAGAUAACACAUGUUGUUUCUUCCUCGCGUAACCAGCUCUAAUUAACCCCGGACAGAGCGACACUCGAGCUCGCGAUCAAAAACACCACAGGACUCAACGACACACACGACGACUCAGACUGACUGACACAGGAACUGAAGAUAACUUGCUGACGAAGACGACGAGAUGGUAGAUAGAUCGAUAACUGGAGGGCCCCGCCGCUCAGUUCCUCCACUGGCCGCCGGAGUCACCGCCACCACGCUGGCCGCCGUAGCCACCACCGCCGCCGCCGUAGCCGCCGCCGCCGCCGCCGUAGCCGCCGCCACCGCGCUGGCCGCCGUAGCCACCACCGCCCUGGCCGUAGCCGCCACCGCCUCCCUGGCCGUAGCCGCCACCGCCCUGGCCGCCGUAGCCACCGCCGCCGCCGCCGUAGCCUCCGCUACCGCCGCGCUGGCCGCCGUAGCCGCCGCCGCCGCCCCCACCGCCGGACCGGCGGGACUGGGCCUCGUUGACGGUGAUGUUGCGCCCGUCGAGCUCCUUGCCGUUCAUCUCCUCGAUGGCCUGGCGCAUCGACUCCUCGCUGCCGAACGUGACGAAGCCGAAGCCACGGGACCUGCCCGUCUCGCGGUCGUUGAUGAUCUGCACGCACGCACAAAACACAAAAACCACCAGAUCCGGUCAGAUCCACCACACAAACCCAAGAUCGGGACAGAUCUACCACACGGACAGCAAAUCGGACGCGAAAUUCCAACGGAUCUGGGAGUUGGUUGGUUGGUUACCUUGGCGUCGAGGAUCUCGCCGUACUGGCUGAAGGCCUGCUGGAGGUUGUGGUCGUCGGUGGCCCAGGCGAGGCCGCCCACGAAGCAGCGGUACUCCGUCUCCGCCAUGGAUCUCUCCCUUUCUCUCCUCUCCGAACUACGGAAACCCUAGACUAGGCUAGCUACUCUCGGACCCGAACCGAACCAGAACCCGAACCGGAAGGGGAGGAGAAGCCAACCCCGAGAGCGAUGAGGAGGACGCUGCCCCGCC
This 82420-nucleotide long non-coding RNA is filed under the name Triticum aestivum (bread wheat). RNAcentral describes it as "long non-coding RNA (TAES_LNC008309)". The record is from RNAcentral. Lineage: Eukaryota; Viridiplantae; Streptophyta; Magnoliopsida; Poales; Poaceae.